GCGUGGCGUAGGUUAUCCGGCGUUGGGACAGGCCCCAUACGUGACGUUGGUUGUACCGGCGUAUGGGGAGAUUUGUGAUAUUAUGUUCAGGUCUCACGUGGGGUAGGUUAUCCGGCGUUGAGACAGGCCCCAUACGUGGCGUUGGUUGUACCGGCGUAUAGGGAGCUAUGUGACAUUGUGUUGAGGUCGCACGUGGCGUAGGUUAUCCGGCGUGUCGACAGACCCCAUAUGUGGCGUUGGUUGUACCAGCGUAUGGGGAGAUUUGUGAUGUGAUAUUGAGGUCCCGCCUGGCGUAGGUUAUCCGGCGUUGAGACAGACCCCAUACGUGGCGUUGGUUGUACCGGCGUAUGGGGAGAUAUUAUGAUAGUAUGGCAUGGUCGCACGUGGCGUAGGUUAUCCGGCGUGUUGACAGGCCCCAUACGUGGCGUUGGUUGUACCGGCGUAUGGGGAGAGAUUAUGUGGGAUACAGAGAAAUGAAUUAAGAUAUCGCCCAAGUGUGGAAUUGGAUUUUAGGGAAGAACUACGUGUGGCUUGAUCCCUCAAGGAGGGUACGUAGGCAGCCUAAGGUUAUUAGGUGCAGCCGCAGACUAAAUAUUAGUCAUAAAUUAUUUUGUUAGCAUGUUUGGUAGUUGGUUAAGAAUUAUUGGAAGGCCAAAGGCCAUUUAUGUGAAUUUGCAUGAGAUUAUAUUGUGCAUGCUGCCCGUUGGUAAUAUUAAAUGUGUUUUUAUGCAGGUUGAAAUUUUGGGAAAUGUCCAAAUUAUAGGGGAGACUCUGCCGAAAUUUUGGCAGGAAGUCUCGGUUUUUAGUAAGUGGGCCUGACAUCGGGGUGAUGUCAGGAGUUCCAAAGGGUUUGUCUCGGAUUUUGAGAAAAUUCGGGGCGGGUCCUUUCACCCACUCCCUUCAUCUCGCACGCCCUAACCUGCUCCGACGCCGACAAAGCAAUCAGUCACCGACGUCGGCCAAGCACUCGUAUGGACAUACCCACUCUCUUCCCCCAAGAUUUCUGAUGGCCUGAGUUAUUUUCCACUGCCUCUACCCUAGACCAUCUACCCUUCAGUUCUCCAGAAUUUUCAGAAUCUCUACAGCCCCAACCACGCAGUGAUUCAAAGGUAUUUUCUUCUUUUGUUUAUUCAACAAUUGUUCUAUAGUUAAUUGAUUUUGAUUCUUUCAAAAUAAAAUCUGUUUUGUUUUGUUUUGUUUUUUUUGUCUUAACAACAGGGUCGUUGCAACCCCUCAACCAUUGAAUUGACAAAGUCCUCCUCUCACGACUUCUUUCAUAUGGUGCCUUUAUGUUAGGUAUGAAGACCAUUUGCUCUAUAUGAUGUGCUUUUUGAGUUUUGGAACAUGGAAAUAUUUAUUUGGUCAUCUAUGAUUUACUGAAAACUACUUCAUACCAUGUGGAUUGGUCCUUAAUGAUAAUGUUGAAUGAAAGAAGGUUAAACAAUUAAGGACUGACAGGUAACAAACUGGUACAUGAGUGAUUCUCCCAAGUAUAGUAGACUUUUGAAUUAUUUAGAAUCAAUUACGAGCCCUUGUGUAAGUGUCUUUAAUUUAUUAGACGAGUUUGUAGUCAAACCUAAUUGGAUUUGCACAUAAUUGAAGUAAAAGAAUUGGAAGUUGGAAGUGGGUUAUGUGGGUGUGUAUUCGUUUCAAGGUUUCUUUGCUUUUGUCUGUAAGAUUAUGCUUUAUUUUAGUUAUUAUUAUUGUGUGUUUUUUUUUUGGUCAAAGGAGCUUAUGCUUUUAUUGUUUGGGAGAAUUUAACUAGGAAAAAUAAUGUUGUUGUUUUUUUGAUGAUUAGAGAAACUUAAAGGGAGAAGUCAUAGACUAUUUUGAGUUUGCAUACUAAUUUGGUCUCAAGCUCUCCCAAAAUAUCGUGUCUAACAAAUUUUGUUAUUUUUUGCAGUAGCCUAUUUGAAACAUUUUCUGUGAUGAAUAAUUCAUCUAUCUCAAGCACCUUUGUGAUAAAAGUUGAAUGCUUUAAUUUUUUUCCUGUCUUUUUUGUUUUGUUUUAGGGAAUGAUAUAUUAGUAUGUUGCUCUGUUUGAGGCUUUGAGCCUUCUCUCUCUAUUUUUGUGCUUUGUAAAUGUGCAGGAUGAUACUUAAGAUGGCUUUUGGUUAAGCAAUAAUAAUAGGCCACAUCUCAUCAUGUGUCUCAUUCUCUAAGGUGGUUAUUUCUUUCACCCAUGUAAUCAAAUCUUUAGAGCCUGUUUUCUCAGUUGUCUUUUUGUCAUUCCUAGGCAACUUGUACACUUUAUGGGUCUGGCUUUCAAUCCUCCCUAUUGUCUUGAGGAACAUUUACUCAAAAUGCAGUUUACAGAACUUCAAGGAAGUAGAUGGGUUGAAUUUGUAUGGUUGGAUCACUAUACUUUCAAUCCUCUAUCUAUUUCCUGUGGCUAUUUUUGUAGGGUCUCAAUGGGUUCAAGGGUAUCACAGAGCUAUUGCAACCAUAGGAAAACCAUCCACAUUUUGUUGAAGUGUCUUUUUGCUUAGCAAUGGUAGAAGACUAAGUGCCUAGUAUGUGCUUAAGCAAAUUCUGAGUCUUGGGCAUGAAAAUAUUAUAAAGAAAUAUCUUAUAGACUUCUAGUUUUUCACUAGGAUCAUCCUCUCUUAGCUCGUGUUUUAACCUUUAAAGAAUUUUUCAUGUCAUUUUAUUUCAAUUCAAUCCUCUUUUUGUACAUUUAGAUAUCUUUUUAUUUCAUUUCCUCACUGUAUUCUAGUGGAAACUGAAAAAGUUGUCCUUAAAUGUUUCUAUUUGCACUGAAAACAUUAAAACUAAUACUUAUUUAUGGUUAAUUGAUAUUAGUUCAUGUUUGAUAGGAAACUUAUUCUAAGUAUUACAUAGGAAGAAUAUAACAAUUCUUGUAUGUAAUCAAAACAGAAACACUGCAAGGCCAAUACUUUGAACAUAAAAUAGAAAGAGUUUGAUCAUAUAGGAGGUCACAUCCUUUCCUGAAACACAUGGAAGCUGCCAAACAUGUUUAUAAUUUUAUGUCACUUUUAUUCUUUUUUUUAGUUAUUAUAUUGUAAUAAUUUGAAGUAUUUCUAAAUUUCUUUUGGUUGGAAAAAUAUAAAAGGGUGAAAAUCCUACAUACAUGCAAGUUUUUGACAACCCAUGAUUUUAGUGCUAACUAUGUACCUGGUUUUAGCAUCAAAUGAAUUUCUUUUGGUUGGAAAAAUGUAAAAGGGUGAAAAUCCUACAUACAUGCAAGUUUUUGACAACCCAUGAUUUUAGUGCUAACUAUGUACCUGGUUUUAGCAUCAAAUGAAGGCCUUAUUCAUUUAAGAAACUGAAAUGCUUGUAUAUCUUGACAAUGGUUUUUUUAUACUGAAAACUCAUUUUUUUUAAAAAAAAUAAUUUUAAAUACUGAAAGGCCUUAAUUUUCCACUGAAUUGGUUGGGUACAUCGAUGUGGAAUGGAAUCACAUUUUGACAACCUCUCUCUCACUCUCUCUCUGAUUUUGUAGUAGCGUUUUCCUCUGUUUUCCCGUUAUUUAAUUGGUUGUGCUUUGUAACUCAAUAUUGCACUGUAGUCUUGUCCGUUUCUUCAAUGAUAUAUCAAAUUGUCCAUUUUUUUAUAAACACUUUGUAUUUCUUUUAGAGUUUUGUUGUUUAGUGCAGGAGAUGUUGUGUAAUUGUUGAAGCUGCCAUUGUGGUUUUUGUUGUAAAAAUUUCAUAGUUGGUUAUUCAAUUUAAGCUCUGCCUUUAUGUAUUUUUAAUUGUAGUUGGUCAAUUCACAUUAAUACUCUUUCAAUAGUAAAUAGAAACAUUUGUAUGAUUUAGUGUUUUGAUGUUUAAAGCAGAUAAGUGGUGUAUUUUUAAAGAUUUGGGUUGGUUGAUGAAAUCUGAGGUUAUGCAGAAAUCUGUGAUCUUGUGUUAUGUUAUGGACCAAAAGAGCUAGUUUGGAUUUAUAUUUUGAUCUGGAUUUUUUAUAAUUAGACAUUUCAAUGAGCAUGUCAAACUUGGUUUCAUACAAAUUGGAGUUAAAUUGGAUUUUUGGCAAAUUUUUAAAGUAGUUGUUAUGUUGCAGGAAGCAGAAAACUCUGUAGCUCAGUCUGUUUUGGAUUUUGUUUUUGACAUGCUUCCUUAACUUCGAAUGCCAUGAAAUUUUUAUGUGAUGAAGUUUUAUGUGUCUAGUUCUGAUCUGGAAAGUUUCGCACUAUUUUGACUCAAACUAGUUUUUUAGUGAAUUUCCCAAGUUGAAGUGUUCCUGCCCAAAUUGUUUAACAAAGUAUUUAUUUGGUCAUAUAUGAUUUACUGAAAACUACUUCAUACCCUUUUUGUUGAAUUAUCUUUUUGCUUAUCAAUGUUUGAAGACCAAAUUGAAGUGCCUAGAAAAUUAGGAAUGUCGGGCUAUGUGCUUAAGCAGACUCUGUGUCUUGGGCUUGAAAAUGUGAUAAAGAAAUAUCUUCAAGACUUCUACUUUUUCACUAGGAUCAUCCUCUGUUAGCUUGUGUUUUCACUUUUAAAGAAUUUUUCAUGUUAUUUUAUUUCAAUUAAAUCCUCUUUUUCUACAUUUAGAUCUCGUUUUAUUUCAAUUCUUCAUUGUAUUCUAGUGGAAACUGAAAAAAAAGUUGUUCAGUGUUUCUAUUUGCAUUGAAAACAUUAAAAACCAGUGAGUGAUUGCCUUAUUUGGGUUUGUGGUUCUCUUUAUCUUAUAAUGUGUUUAGAACAAUGUCAUUUAGGAGUCUAACUUUACUGAGGUAAUAUCUUGUUUUUGCAUGUCAAAUUAUUUGAGGAGGUGGAAGGAUUUGGUUUGUGGUUUUGGACAGAGGACCAUUUGAGGUAAGAACCUCUUCUUCUCAUUACACUCAGUUCCAUUUGUUUUCUUAUUAACAGCUAUAGUGGUUGUCAAUGUCAUUGUGGUGUUGUUUGUUUAAAGAUAUUAAAAUGACAUAUGUGUUUUGUAUUGUGUUGAGAAGUUUUGCAACCCAUGUUGGUUAAGGUGUGGAUUAUACUUUGGAUUUUAUGAUUUAUGUUUUCUAAUGGGUUUGUGCUAUGUAUGAUAUUAGUCUUUACAUUGGUUUUUCAUAAUUGUUUUCCUUCUUCAUUUGUGGUAUUUGUUAUUAUCACAAAGGUAUCCUCCUUCAUUUGUGGUAUUUCUUAUUAUCACAAAGGUAUGCUUUAGACAGUUGAUAUUGAGAGGUAUGAAAAAUGAAUUCAAAUUUUAUUAAGUUUGUUCAAAUACCAUUCUCAAACAUUCUUAAAUAUUGAUGAACAAUGAUCUUCUUUUUUUUUUUAUGUAGAUCCAAACUCUUUUUAAUGGCUUAUUUAGUUAAGAUUGUGAAUUUCAGCUUUUGGGCCAGAUUUCUUGUAAUUCUGUUGUCAAAAAUUGUUUGUUUUUGGUCUAUAUAUAGUUUUAUAUUUAAAUUUUCUUGGUUUUGGCAUCUUCUUGACUGUUGGCAUUUCAUUAUUUUGUUUCUUUUGUAAAGGAAGAUGAUUGAUGAGUUUGAGAAGAUCAAGCGACAAUUGGUAGAGUGUUUGGGAAUUCCACGAUAUUAAAUCACAGACUCACAGUCCCUAUCCACAGGUGUUAAAGAUCAUGACUACAAAACUUGGAAUUACAAAAGGCAAAUACAUGCAUCUUUUUUAGUCGAAACCCGGUCUUAGAGUGGGGAAAUUAUUACUACAGAACUUAGGUUUACCAAGGGCAAGAAUAUAUGGAGCUUGGCCUCCAGUCCUUGAGUGAAGACUAUUUUUGGAUAUGUUAUGUGUACUUGAAUAACUAGUAUGCUCUUGUGUACUUUUGAAUGAGAGAAACUUUUAUUCAUGUCAUUUUCUAUUGAUCUAUUUACCUAAAUUUAUUGUUUUCCGAAAUUACAAUAUGUUAAUGAAAAAAAGGUUAAUAUUAUAACAAAACAGAAUAUAAAUUAAAUAAUUAAAAACACUUAAAAUAUACAAAUUUUAGCGACCAACUCAGUAAGCUUUAGCGACGAAAUCAGGUAGUCACCGAAACCUAUCGGCGACGAACAACCUAUUUUGUUGCCCAAUCAUUCCUCAGUUCGCGGCAAAUUUUGGUAUUUUCGCGGGAACCCAUCUUUUUAGGCGACCAACUCUUACUGUAAAGGCGACGAAACAAAUUGGUCGCGUAAAGGUUUUGGCGACGAAAAUUUGUUUUCGUCGCCUUUUGUCUCCAGGUACUUUCAGCCACGAGCCUUAGGCGACCAAAUUGGCGACGAAAUAAUUUCGUCGCUAAAGGGUUUUGGCGACGAAAUAACAGCUUUUAGCGACCAAACAUGGUGGUCGCCAAAAGGGUUUUUCCUUGUAGUGUUUUUUCACUAGCCACUAUAUGUUUGUACCUACACUGACAACAAAUUGAUGCCACGGGGUCUCCUUGAUGCCUUUAAUUUAUGUAGAAGGUUACGAAUUUCCCUAAAGGAAUGUUCUUAUUUGUUGUCCAUAUAUCAUACGUCUGUCUACGAUCAAUGUGGCCUAUAUGUAAGUUAAAAAUGAGCAGAUAUUGUAAGGAUUUAUGACUUUAUAGCCUCGAUCUCUUGGAUCACAGAGGUCCAAGAGAUUGUGGUCACCCACCGUUAGAUGUUAAUCUAACGGUUCAAAAAAGUUUCUUAAAAGGAGUGCAAGAGUGAGUGAACCGUUGAAUUUACAUCCAACGGUGAGUGACCACAAAUCUCUUGGACCCCUGUAAUCCAAGAGAUCAGGACAGUAUAACUUUAAACAUUAUUUUUAUCAAUUCUAAAAUAUCCAUUUUCUCAUAUCGCUUGUAUAAAAAGGAAAAAAAAAAUACCGAUGAAAUUGUUUCUAACCCCAAACCAUGAGGUUCAAAGUGUAAUUGACAAAAAAAUUGAAUACACAAUAGAAAAAGAAAAGUCUUGAACCAAAAAAAAAAGGUUAACUGUUGAUACCACCUGAAUUUUGUACACUACUUUCAAUUUGCACCAUUAAUUUUUUUUUAUUACAGAAAAUUAAGUGCACAAACUAGUUUUUAUUGCCAAUUCCUCCUACCGUCAAAAUCAACAAUAUAUCAUCUAAUAGUCAGUCAAAUCAUUAAAAAAAAAAUUUGAAAAAAAUAAAGAAAAAGAGAAAAAAAAACGAAAAAGAAAAAAAAAAUAUCCUGGUCUGCCCACUCUCCACAUUUUUCUUCUUCUCCCAUAACCACCACCCUCCACUCCCACCCCACAGGCCCCCUCCUCCAAUCUCCCUCCUUCUGUUUUUUUCAACCCCGAACCCAGCUGCCCCGGGUCAAUAGCAAAUUGGAUGAAAUGUUGAGAUUUAGACGGCAAGGAGGAAUUGACAAUACAAAUAGUUAUUGUACUUAAUUUGUUGAAAAUUUAAUAUUAACUAAUAUUAAUUUUCUUAUUUGAAUGAAAAUUAAUAAAAUUCAUUGGGUUAAAGACAUGACCCUUGGGUUAAAGACAUCUUCAAAUUGGAGGGUGACAACUCUUCAAACCAAGGGAUGCAUUGUUUGGGGUGACAACUCUUCAGACCAAGGGAUGUAUUGUUUGCCUUUUCAAAUUCGGAUAUCUUUUUGGAAAUGGUAUUUCAUAAUCUAUAAGUAGAGCAAUCCUCUUGCAGUUUUAUUAAUUCAAUCAAUUCUCUACAUACAUACUUUCAUAUAUAUAGAGCAUUAGAGUUUUCAUAAAGAGAGGUUCCUGCAUAAAUUUGGUUCAAAGUUCCUUGUGAAUUGAAAUGCUUCUUUCAUAAGGAGGGGGGGUCAUUGUAUCCUAAGAGACAAACGCUAGUGAACCAUAAGCACCAGUGUGGGAAGUAAUUCCUCUUAAGGUCAGAGUGCAGGAACCAUUGAAGUGGUGGUAGUUUCAUGGCUAAUGGUUCAGUUGGGAUGCAGCAAUGCAGCCACUUAUAGGGUUGGAAAGUCUGGUGGCUAGAGCCUGGAGCUAUUUUUCAAAUGGCCCUUGAAAAUGUAAUUGAACGGGCCUAAAUCGUUUGUUUUUUUAAUAUAUUUAGUUUACAAAUCCCACGUGGGUUUCGUUGUAAUUUAGGUUCAUUUUUAAAAAAAAAAACAAAAUAAGCUACAACACAUGCAUGUGGUUAGUAAUUGUGGAAAUGGUGUCGGUUCAUGAUAUGGAGAUUUCCCACUAAGAUAUUGUACUAACCUAAUUCUAGACACGAGUAUAAAGUUGGGGCUGGAGGAAAGCGACUUAGGCAAGUCGGGUGCUCCACCUCUAUUAUAAGUAGGCUUCAAGCCUCGUCUCAUAUGAAUAAACCAUCGACGAAAGCAAUCAAGCAAGAAGCCCAAGAGCUAUAAAAGGCCAAUUAGACUGUUGUCUUAUAAACUCACGAGAAGGCCAAUAUCGUGUUCUAUAUCCACCAAGCCGUGUACUCUCUCCCCAUUCUAGUUCUUCUAUUAUAUCCAAGUGCUCAUUCAGAUUUCAGGUGCUUUUUUGGACACAUUUCAAGUGUUCAAAGAAAAAUAUUUUAAAUAAGUAAAAGUAUAAGCAUUCUUGAAAGAAUGCUAAUUUGUUUUAGGUGUUGAGAGCAUGUUCAAAUCAUAAAGCGGGUGUCCAAAGAAAUAAGAGUGGUGUUCAAAAGAGUUCUCUUCCUAGUCUAGUAACUGGUAUGGGUCAGGGCCAUUUUUUUCAUUUCCUUCAAAUAUGACCGGUCCUAGAACAAGGCGACAUUUUGACAACAAAAGGCAAUCAACAUACACGUGGCUUAUAUUGUUUCUAAUUAGCAUCAGGGCCGGUCUUGAGAUUUUGAAGGCCCUCGGAUACUUAUUAUUUCAGUUUGUGGUUGUGAAAAUAGAUGGGAUAUUGAAUGUUGGUGUUGACAUCGGACAAGCCUUUAACACAAGCAGGUUUUGAAGUCUGAGUCCUGAAUAGAAGUUGAGGCCCUACAAACCAACACAACUAGAAACGUCUUUGUGUCAACAAUUUGCUCACUCUGUAUAUAUAUAACAUUUGUUAUACAUAUAGAGUGCUGCUAUUUCCACCCACCUGUCCUAUUUUCUCACCCACUAUGUAAAUUUAAAAAAUUAAAAUCCUACUUUUCCACCCACCAUUAUUCCUAAAAUACCCUUUAAUUAUUAAUUCGACCAAACACCAUCAACUCCAAGUUAAAAACAUAAAAAUUUUAACCCCAAAAAAAAAAAAAAAAACCAUUCUUCAUCUUCUUCAUGUGUUUUCAACAUCACGACCUUACCCUACCAUAUUAAUAUUCUCAUCAACCCCUUAGCAGUACUGGUGGCUUCACGACCACGACAGCACCACCACAACAACAGACAACCAACAAGACUAUAAUGGAUUUUUAAUUGAAGUGAUGUUAUAUGGAAUAAGGACCCGUAUGUGGGUUAAUCAGACUAAAAAAUCUUUAAAAUGGAAUAAAAUUAAAGGACAAUUUGGCCUCUAUUAUCAACACCUACCAACCCUGACACAAUAUUAAAGGUGGAGUUGAGAAUUUGAUUUGACUUUUUUUUUUUAAAAAACUUUUCAAAGGAUUGGGAUGGGUAGAUCAAUGCUCGCUGAAUUUGUUGAGGUCAGGAAGAUUGAAAGAAUAUGGAGAGUAAAAGAAAAAAUUUAUUUUCUUUUUAAAAUUUGUUUUAUUUUUAGGGUUUUAGAAGUCAUUUUACAUAUGGAUAAAUUUGUCUUUAAAUUUUUUAAAAUAAGGUGGGUGGAAAAAUAUGACAGGUGGGUGAAAAUAGCAGCACUCUACGUAUAUUAUACACAUGAAAAAAAAUUAGGGGCCCUGUGCGGUGGCACCACUUGCACACCCUCAGAGCCACCCCUGCGAGAGUGCACCUGGUUUUUGUGGCUGGUAUUAAGUAGUACGCAUGUGUGCGAAGGUCCAAAAGAUCAGCGUAGUUUUUUCCCUCAAUUUUUUCAAAAUAGUAAUUAAUGCGUUCUAACGUCUAUCUACCUACAAAUUAAUACAUCAUUAAAUGGUCUCGACGAGAAAAACAAAGAAAAAAGGAUGUAAAACAUGUCGUAUAUGAAAAAUUUAUUUAUGUAAGCAGAUGCCAAACAUGUUAUAGGUCAGGUUACUCUGUACAAAGAAUACUAUUUUUUGAAGACGGCAUCAAUUUUUUUUGGUCUGAUGUCAUAUUGGGUUCGUGACCUUUUACCACGCAAUAAUGAUGAUGUUUUACUUAUAAAAAAAGAAAAGAAAAAAAGAGACACAUCUUGCAGUAUGCUUGCGUCCCAGUUUGGCAUUUUUAUGCUUUGAAAAUAAUCGAUGUCAGAUUUGUUGUGAGAGAAAUCAGCUGUGAGAGAAAGUAGUUUAGUGUUUGUUAAACUUUUUGUUAAAAGUGUUGUUGGUACUGAUUUCCGCAUAAUCAGAAAAUAAUUAUCACAUAAUUAUUAAAUCCAACACAUCUUCGAAACUGAUUCCUGCAUAAUCAGAAAAUGAAAACACCCAAUUAGCUGCUUUCUAUUAUAGCUUUCUCUCACAACAAUUUUUAACAAUAAGUGAUUUUCUCAUAGUUUUACCAAACGAGCUGAGUUUCCCAAAAUUUUUAAAAAAUCACUUAUUACACCAAAUAAGCAAUACCAAACGAACACUUAACUUUCAGUACGCUUGUGUUUCUUAUCCGGCAAUGAUAGGCAUGCAGGUCCAAACAAGGAGACAGCAUAGAUAUUUAUCCAAUUAUUUCACUAAAAUAAAUCUUUAUCCAAUUAAUAGCUUUGUGCUUUCACCAAAAAACAAAUAGUAAUCCCUUUCUUUCGAAAAAAGAAAAAAGCAAAAUAGUAAUUAAUGUGUUAUAUCCCAUCACUAACUUGUUCUUUGCAAGACCAAAAACUUCGUUAAUAAUUUCUACGUUCAAAAUUAUAUGGUCACAAGGAGAAAUACAUAGAAAAAAGGAUGUCAUCAUAGUUAAAAUAUAUAUGGGUUUGUGAGCUCUCGAUCAUAAGAGCACUUCCAUCCCUAUGAAUAAAGGCAAGGCAAGGGAAAUUAUUAUUUACUUUAAUUUAUUUUCUAUUUUUUAUACUUAAACGAUUAAUUUUGAUAAUAUUUUUGGUUGCCACGUGUCACUAUUUAUUAUAAAAUUCUCAUCUCAAAUUUCAGUUAAAAAUUUUAGAUAAAAUUUUAGGAUCAUAUUUUCGGAUAAGAUUUUCGGUUGCUACGUGUCCAUAUUUAUUAUAAAAUUCACAUCUCCAAUUUCAGAUAAAAUUUUCGAAUAAGAUUUUUAGUUGUCAUGUGUCCAUAUUUAUUAUAAAAUUCACAUCUCACUCGUUAUGCAACUGAAAUACCUACUCAUUCAUCAUACAAUUGAAAUAUUCCCGGUCCUCAUAGUCCAAUAUAAUCGAGUACAAGGACGACACAAUCAUUGGCGGAGGUGGUUCCACCAGAUCACAACGUGGGGGAGUAUUUUCCCUUGGAGGACGUAAUAGUGCCAUGAUUUCCUACACGAAAUGCACUACUAGAACUGAUUGCGGGCACUGUUCACUUGAGGAGUCAUGUGUAAUGGUUUUCGUCUUUUUUGUUUUGCCUUGAAUAACCUAUUAAAAAAAAUGAAACUUGAAAUGCCAAAAAAUAUCAACCAAAAAAAAAUAAAAAAAAUGACAUUACAUUGAAUAAAAUGGCAAAUAAUUUUUUUUUUUACCUCAUCUCCAAGAUUUUGACCGUUUCGAACGUUUGUCGAUGACCAUUUGGCUUCAAUGGAAGAGGCCAUUUGUAUUUUUACACAAAUGGAAUUUUGUAGUAGAAAAUUUGGUGUGGAAAAUGAAAAAUAUUGGAAUGAGAUGAAUGAAGAUUUGGUGUGGAAAGUGAAUAAUAUGUAAGGUAUUUAUAGAAAAAAAACAAAUCCAUAAUUUUUUGGUAUUUUUUUAUUCAAAAAAAUACAUCCGUUGUGUUAGUAUGAAAAUUAUAUUGUCAUUUCCUAGACUCUAGCAUAGGUUGGGAAUUUGUGUGUGAACAUGUUUUACUGGAAGCUUUGGCGCAACACAUUCAUUCUGGAUCUUUGAGGCAUGACUUGACCGAUAUGAGAAACUGAUUUCAGGUAACUCAUGACAUCAUCAUGCAUUCAUUAUAGGAUUCCUAAUUGGACUUAUUUUCACUUAAAGUAUUUUUAUCUUAAUCUUAUUUUUAAUAGGAUUAGAUUUUAUCUCUUAAUAUUACUUUCCUAGUUGAACUCUAUUUUGAUUUAGAUUAAAAAUAUUAUGUUUUCAUUAUCUUGGACUUGGAAAGUAUGUUUUAAUUAAUAUCCUAUUUGGUUCCGUGUUUACAUCUUGAUAUAUAUUGUUUCAUUGAAUAAACAAUUGAUUGGAGUGCAAUUGAGAAUAUGACGAAAUCAUAUAGGAUUCUAUGACCAUCAAAUUAAAUGCAUGGCAAGAUAUUGAGUUGUGGUUGUGGGUCCUCUAGUGGAUUGUGGAGAAUAAGUUUUGUAUAAAUCAUUGUGUGCAUCUCUUAGGUUUACUGGAGCUUUUGAUAUUUGUGUUGAGCAUAUAGAAUUCUUAAGCAAAAGCUGAUGUGCAUAUAUUUGAGAUAAAUCAUCAAGUGUUCUAUGUUUACUUGGUGAUUUAUCAAACACUUUAAUAAUUCAUAUUGCAUUCAUAUGCAUGUCGGUGACUCAUACGGUUGAGGGCACCAAGACCGUGGUGGCGGUUUUCCUCCGGUGAGCUUGAAGCAAUCGUGGCCAGAAUUGCGUUCAACAUAAGGAGUGUCGAAGAUCAUCUCGUGACAGAAGUUGAGUUAGGAAGAAGUCGGUAAACAUUAUCUAGAAUGAGUCUAGGAUAAGUGUGUGAGUACUUCUUGUAAUCAUCGUUCUAUAGUGGAUUUGAGUUGGACUGAGAAGUCCCGUGGAUUUUCCCCAGAGGUGGGGUUUUACCACGUAAAAUAAUUCUCUGCGUGUUCUUUUAUUUUAAGCUUUGCACAUCUCAGGAUUGAUAACUCAUAUCAAUCCUGCUUCAAAGGUUGAUCAUUAUUUAUUGCAAAAAUUCGAAUUAGCUUGUUUAACCUUCUCCAGGCAUAUAUAGAUAUCCUACAGGUAUUUUCACGUUGGAUUUCUCAAAAAUAUUUGAUCCGAGCGUCCAGGAAGUGCCACGUGGCUUCUUCUUGUUGGAGUGUGUCAGGGCUCACAUCAGACAGCAAAAAUCAAAUUUUUUUACCAUUGACACGUGGAAAAAAUGUUUCAAAAUCUUGGACUUUUUUAUACACAAAGUAGAAGAGCAAAAGUAAGACUAAAACAUAUGCAACAUAUGUGUUUAAUGAUGUAAACAAAUCAUUGCAGCAGAAUCCACAGUAAUGCCAUGGAUAUCUAUUACUGCAUAUAUGUAUACAUCGAAAAUCUCAUAGCUCGCUCAAGGGACCCAAACAAAGAAAAAAUUUAAAUAAAAAUAAAAACAAAAACAAGUAUGAUCAUGAGUCACGUUGACUAAAAAGCAAAAACAAGUGCGAAGGUCGAAAAGAUCAGCCUAGUUUUUUUCCGCAAUUUUUUCCUUUGUCCUUCUCCUUUCACCUAAAAAGCAAAUACUAAUCGCUUUCUUUCAAAAAAAACAAAAUAGUAAUUAAUGCGUUCAAACGUCUAUCUACCUACAAAUUAAUACAUCACUAAAUGAUCUCGACGAGAAAAACAAAGAAAAAAAGAAUGUAAAACAUGUCGUAUAUGAAAGCUUUAAUUAUGUAAGAAAAUGUCAAACAUGUUAUAGGUAAGGUUUGAAGACGUCAUCAAUUUUUUUUUGGUCUGAUGUCAUCUUGGGUUCGUGACCUUUAGGUCAUAAUAAACACUUCUAUAAUAAAAUCAACGCCAACAAGGAGGUUCCAAACUUCCCUCCCCUUGUCCAAGCUUGCCUCUACCACCCAUCCUUCGAUGUUUCUAUAUAUCAAAAAGAAAACAAUCCGUAUUACAUUAUCAGUCUCACAACAAUUGUUAAUUUUAUACGUACUGACUGAUUAUGUGUUAGAAUGUAAAUCUGAACUACCGUUUCUAAGAUGCAUUUUUGAAACCUAACAUUUUAAAUUUGUUUAGCCAUAUAACAUCUCAAUACAAUGUGGUACAUAUAAGAUUUUAUGCAUAACAAUUUUCUCAAUGAAUGUGAGACAUUUUUUAUUAUUAUGAAUAUUUAAAAUUGAAAAUAACCAAACAAAAAGUAGUAAAAAAUAAAGAUUUACAAUAAUACUAUAGAUCAACUCACUUGAUUGUCUGGAAUUCAUGAGAUGGACUUUAAGGAAUAUAUAUUUCUAUUAUGAAUAAUGCUACUCUUAUCAUAUUUGUAUACCAUAUUCCUACAUCAUUUUAUGUGGCAGUUGAGGUGGACAGCCACAUCAAUUAAAAUUAUUUAAUAUAUAUUUUUUUAAUGAUUUAUUCUAGUAUUUAUUUUUCUAAUUGUCUUAAUUAAAAUACACUUCAUUGAUUUAAUUGAUGUGACAUAUAAUAUGGACAUGCCACAUCAUGUGAUAUAAAAAUGUGGGAUAAAAAUGUGGUAAGUGUAGCAUUACUUUUCUAUUAUUUAUGAAAGAAUUUCCUUUUUGUUUGAGAACUGAAACGGGUAGAAAAAACCAAAAGAGUAGGGGCAACACUGACCAAAAAAUAACAGCUCCAAUAAGCGAUUAAAAAGAAAAAAAACAAAUGAAAAUUAUGAGGAGAGAGGAGAGAGAAUAUAUUACUUAUUAAUCAUGUUUAAGAUGGUCUUGAUUUCUUUUUCAAUGUCAUCCUAGCCAUUAAAACCUAUUUCAUCUUAGGGUUAAAAAAGUGUGUAACCCGCACUCAAAAUAGUGAAAGGGGGUACCAUGGAAAUUAUUGAUUUGGAAAUUCUACCUGCUAUGCACGAUUCUAUUGUUGCUUUGCAAUAAUCUUAUAUCCCAACAACACUUGCCUAUAUAUACAUGAGUCUACAAUCCAUGUUUUCCAUAGCAAAGCUCUAAGCAUAUAGAAAACAAAACAGUACUAAACAAAAAAAAUUAAAACAUGUCUAUCCAAGUUUGUGCAGCAGCUCAAUCACCAAAUGCCAAGCCUGAAAUUAUUCGGCGGACAGCAAACUUCCCACCAAGCAUUUGGGGUGAUCGGUUUCUCAAUUAUGAUUCCCAAGACAUUGUAAUCUCAUGCAAAUUAUCAUUAUAUUUCAUGUUAAUUUUUCUCAAAAAAAUAAUUUCACUCUUGUUUUGCUUAUUUAAUUAAUUACUGGCUGCAGAUAACAAAUGCCCGGAACCAACAAGAAGUUAACGAGCUGAAAGAAGUAGUGAGGAGGGAAGUAUUAACAACUAGUGCAGGUGACUUUUCACAUCAGCUCAAGUUGAUUGAUGCAAUCCAGCGCCUUGGCGUGGCAUACCAUUUUGAAAGUGAAAUUGAAGAAGCAUUGGAGCGUAGGCAUGCUGCAUUUCGUGACCAUGAUGGAGAUCUAUACAACGUUGCUCUUGGUUUCCGGCUACUAAGACAACAUGGAUAUAAGGUUUCAUGUGGUAAGUUAAUCAACAAAUUAUAAUGUAGUUGAGCGUACUGUGACUGAUUUUGGCCAACUAAUGCCUGUUCAUUUUUAUGUCAAUCAAGCAGAUGUGUUCAACAAGUUCAAAGACGAAAAUGGCAGCUUCAAGGAAUGCUUAAUUGCCGAUGUUCCGGGGAUGCUAAGCCUUUAUGAAGCCGGGCAUCUAGGCAUACGGGGAGAAGAAAUACUAGAUGAAGCUCUUGCUUUCACCACCACUCACCUUGAUUCUGCUGCAAAAGCUCAUGUAAGCUACGAACAUGCAGAACAAAUCACUCAAGCCUUGGAGAGACCUUUGCGAAAAGAUCUAGAAAGGGUAUGUGCCAGGCGUUACAUGUCAAUCUACCAAGAUGAAGCUUCACACAACGAAGCUUUGUUGAAACUUGCGAAGUUAGACUUCAAUCUUGUUCAGUCUUUGCACAAAAAGGAGCUCAGUGAGAUUACUAGGUAAGUCUCUCUUUUAAUUGUAAAUGCGAGCAUAUAUACUCAAGUAACACAUACAGCUAGUGUUAUUGCUUAUUAGGUGGUGGAAAGAAGUAGACUUUGAAAAGAAGCUGCCUUUCGCAAGAAAUAGGAUCGUGGAGUUGUACUUUUGGGUAGUCGGAGUAUACUUUGAACCCCAAAACGUCGAAGCAAGAAAAUUUCUUACAAAAGUGAUUGCGCUGGUAUCAGUGAUGGAUGAUAUCUACGACGCAUAUGCUACGUUUGAAGAACUUGAGAUCUUUACUGGAGCAAUUGAGAGGUACUACUUUGAAAUCAUAAUUUUCUUUUUAAUAAUUUAGAGCUGAUUUAUUGUAAUUGCAGAAAGUGCUCCUAAAUAAGCCAACUUACAAGGUUUAUCAAAUUUUCAGGUGGGAUAUGAGUUGCAUGGAUGAACUUCCAGACUAUAUGCAAAUAUUUUAUCGUACCCUUUUGACUGUUGUCGAUGAAAUUGAGGAAGAGAUUGCAAAGGAUGGAAGAUCGUACCGAGUUUAUUAUGCAAAGGAAUCUGUAUGUAUAUAAUAUAUAUACACUUUUGGUUAUAAUAUAUUUAAAUUAUUUUCUUCCACAUUAUGUAGCUAUAACGUUAUGUCCCCUCCAGUUGAAAGCUUUAGCCCGAGCUUACUUUGAGGAGGCCAGAUGGUUCAAUGAAGGAUACACCCCAACCAUGGAUGAGUAUCUACCUGCUGCAAUAGUUUCUAGUGGCUACCCCAUGCUUUCAACUGUAUCCUUACUUGGCAUGGGAGAUAUUGUAACAAAGGAGACAUUUGAGUGGCUGUUCAAUGACCAAAAAAUUGUUAGAGCUUCCGCGACCUUGUGCAGGUUCAUGGAUGAUAUUGUCUCAGGCCAGGUAUAAAAUAUUAUUGUCAUGCUAGAUUAGGUAAGCAUGUUUAAAAUGCAAAGUUUCACAUCGAAAAUUUGACAAAAUAAAAUACUAUAUAUAAUAAGUGGUUCCCCAACUAAUAGUAUCAUGGCCUUUGGUGAUAAAAACCCACACUAGACUUUGUUGGUGGUUAAGUUGGGAACAACAUCGGUGUUAGCAGUAGUAGUAAGAAUGACAUAUAGUAUUACCGAAUUAAUAUUUUGAAUUUCUGUACGCAGUUUGAGAAAGAGAGAGGCCAUGUUGCCUGUAGUAUUGAUUGCUACGUGAGGCAAUAUGGGGUGUCGGAGCAAGAGGCACUUGAUGCUUUGAACAAGCAAGUGGUGGAUCUGUGGAAGGACAUAAACGAGGAGUUUCUCAGACCAACUGCAGCGCCAAUGGCUGUCCUAAUGAGAGUUCUUAAUUUAACAAAAGUGAUAGAUCUCCUUUACAAAGGUGACGAUGGCUACACGCGUGUUGGUAAAGUGGUGAAGGAUAAGAUUGCUUCACAUUUUAUUGAUCCAGUGCCAAUUAUAUGAGUUUUCUAGAUCAUAGGAGGACUCUGUGUGGAGAACUAUGAUGCUUUUUCUAGAUCAUAGGAGGAUUUCUUUGACAAUACCUCCAUAGUGAUGGGAUGUGGUUUUAAGGGUUUUGUGGUUGAAUUUUAGGUUGGUUUGUUUCAUAUAAGUUGUUUGACUCUUUUGUUUAGUCAAUAACAUCGGUGGUACUCUUUCCUACCCUAGAUUUUGUUUAUCUAGAAAGGUUUUAAUGAGGCUACUGUUAAUAUACUAGUUCUCACCAUGUAAUGUUCCUUUCGGUUGAAUGAAAUACCAUCUUUUUGAUCAACCAAAAAAAAAAACAUCACAUAGUGGUAUGAUAGUUACACAGAAUAAUUUAUUCAUAAUAUGAUGAUUAAUAGUUUUUCUGUUACUUUACAUAAUGUCAACCACGGUUAUAUCCACCAAACCCUAGUUAAUUUCUAAUUAGCCAAGGAAAACAAAUAUUUCAAAAUCUUAGCCUUUUUUAUACAUAAAGUAGAAGAGCAAAAGUAAGACUAAAACAUAUGCAACAUAUGUGUUUAUUGUUGUAAACAAAUCAUUGUAGCAGAAUCCUCAGUAAUGCCAUGGAUAUCUAUUAAUGCAUGUAUGUAUAUUUGAAAUUGGUAAUUAGGUGAUGAUGGGUAAAUUUAAAGAUAUUCAAACAAGACACAAUAAACUUCACACACUUUAGACUUUGACAAAAUACUCUUAUGACUAGUCAACUGUCAAACAUGAAUUACCACAACCAAGAACAUACACAGAGCAUACGAAGAAAUAACUGCAAGCCUAGAGAAUUACUAGUAACAACCUAGGCACUCAGAAGGACCCGUCAAUCUAGGCAUUCCCUAUGCUACCGAUAACUAUGGUGAAAGUGUGUGAAGGCAUCAUAAUCAAAUAAACUGCACACAGUAGAUAGUGAUGACUAGUCAACCGCAAGAACACAAACCCAGAAAUACAUGAACAUCAUGCGAUGACUAGUCAACUAUUAAGAACACAUCAUAAUCAAAUAAACAGCACACAACAUAUAGUGAUGACUAGUCAACCGCAAGAACACAAACCCAGAAAUACAAGAACAUCAUGCGAUGACUAGUCAACUAUCAAGAACACAAAUCCAGAAAAUUACAAAGUUGCAAACUAGAAAUUGUUCACUUAGAAAUGCACCAUUGGAAAAAACUGGGGGUCAUCAACUGACCAGGCAAUCUACUAAGCAAAGAAGAUUCUUACAAAGAAACACAAGCAAGCUCAAGAAAUCCUAGAUCUGUUUAGGAAGAUAAGCUAUACCUCCUUUAUGUAAUCUUCUUCUCCAACUUAGAAAAACCAGCAACUUAGUCCUUCAUGGCAAUGACAGCUUCUUCUUCAGCUUUUUCAUCUCAUGGCACCAGCUAGCCAGCUCAAACUCAGAUAGAAACCAAAAUUUGGAUUCAAGGAAGAAUGACCAAUUUCUUCAAGAAACCAUACUCUUCAAGAUCCUGCAAUCCGAUACUCUCCAAUUUAUUCCCUUUCUCCCCUGAAUUGGAGAGGAGGGAGAAACAUAAUACGGUACCUCUUCAUGAAAAGUCACAUCCAAAGUAACAUGCAUCUUCUGAGUAGAAGGAUGAUAGCAUUUAUAACCCUUCUGAGUAGUAGAACAACCAAUGAAGAUACAGCGGAGAGUGCAUGGAUCCAGUUUAAUCUGUUGAUGAUAGUAGACAUGAACAUAGGCAACACACCCAAACACCUUGGGAGGCAACUUAGAGACAGAGACCGGAGAAGUAUGGGUACACAAUACAUCGAGCGGAGUCAUGAAAUCAAGAACCCGACUAAGAGUACGGUUAAUCAGAUAGGUUGCUCCCAAAACACUAUGGCGCUAAAGAUAAUGGGGAACAGACAUGUCCAAUAGAAGGGAGCGGCCAAUUUCAAGUAAGUGACGAUUCUUGCGUUCAGACACACCAUUCUGCUGAGGAGUGAAUGGAGUAGUAGUUUGGUGGAUAAUGCCUUGAUUAAGAAAAAAAUGGGUCAAGGGAUUAUUCACAUAUUCACCUCCAUUAUCAGUCCGAAACACUUUGACUCGAUCAUGAAACUGAGUAGACACUAUGGCACAAAAUUUAGGAAGAAUAGAAGCAACAUCAUGUUUAUUCUUCAUCAAAUACACCUAUGUUAGGCGAGUGCAGUCAUCAAUAAAAGUAACAAACCAACGAAAACCAUUAGAAGUCACACAAGCAGGUCCCCAUACAACCGAAUGUACUAAAUCAAAAGGUUUUGCAGCUUUACUGUCACUCAAAGGAAACACAGUGCGAUGGCUCUUGGCCAAAAUACAUGUCUCACACUUAAAACUGGACUCAUCACAAGAGCAUAAUAAAGAUGGAAACAGACGUUUAAGGUAGUCGAACAACGAGUGUCCCAAGCGAUGAUGCCAUAACCAAAUUUGUUGUUUGCUCUUGACACUGCAACUUUGAAUAGUAUGAACGACAUGAUCACGAAUUGGUGCAGAAGGCAAUAUGAAAUUGGUACUUAGGUGACGAGGGGUAAACUUAAAAGAUAUUCAACCAAGAACGCAACAAACUUCACACACUCUAAACCUUGACCAAAUACUCUUAUGACUAGUCAACUGUCAGAUAUGAAUGAUACCAAAUACUAACAUACACAGAGCAUACCAAGAUGUACCUGCAAGCCUAGAGAAUUACUAGUGACAACCUAGGCACUCAGAAGGACCCGUCAAUCUAGGCAUCCCCUGUACUAGCAACAACUAUGGUGAAAGUGUGUGAAGACAACAUAAUCAAGCAAACACCAAAGAAAGUGUGUGAAGACAACAUAAUCAAGCAAACACCAAAGAGCAAAUAAUGAUGACUAGUCAACUACAAGGAUACAAACCCAGAAUUCAUAUGAUGACUAGUCAACUACAAGGAUACAAACCCAGAAUUCAUAUGAUGACUAGUCAACCACUAAGAACACAAACCCAGAAUUCAUAUGAUGACUAGUCAACCACAAUUCAUACGAUGACUAGUCAACCACCAAGAACACAAACCCAGAAUUCAUAUGAUGACUAGUCAACCACCAAGAACACAAACCCAUAAAAAUUAUAGAGAUGCAAACAGAAAUUGUUCACCCAGAAACCCACCAUUGGGAAAAACUGGGGGUCAUCAACAGACCGGGCAAUCCACUAAGUAGAAAAAGAUUCUUACAAAGGAACACAAGCAAGCUCAAGAAAAACUUAGAUCUAUUUAGGAAGAUGAGCUAUACCUCCUCUGUGCAAUCUUCUUCUCCAACUUAGCAAAGCUUGAAGCUCAGUUCUUCAUGGCAAUGACAGCUCCUUCUCCAGCUCACUCAUCCCAUGGCACCAGCUUGCAAGCUCUAACUCAAACAGAAACCAAAAUUUGGAUUCAAAUGAGAAUGACCAAUUUCUUCAAGAAACCAUACUCUUAAAGAAAUCAAUCUUGAAUCUGACCUAGAUAUAAAUGAGAGAGUGUUUUAAGUAGCUAGAUGCAGAUUAGUAUUUCAAAUGCAGUUUUUCGAAAAGAAAUCAAUUUGGAAAAACUCAUAGAUGAAAAUAUUGUUCUCUCUUGAGGAAGAAGAACAGAAAGAUGGCAAGCCAACCUUUCCUAAAAAUCCACACAAAAGAGACGGCUUCCCAAAGAGGAAUUCCUUAGCCUUUACAGACAAAAAUUCCCUUAAGUCAGAAUCACAUGCAGUAGCAGAGAGAGAAAAGAGAAUAGGACAAAAAAGUUGGUUAUCCAAGCUGGAAAUCCUACAAAGCAAGGAUGACUAGUCAUACAAGAAAUAGAUGACUAGUCAUCAUUUUAUGAAAACAGUUUAAUGCAACGUUAUGCAAUGCCCAAUUUGCUUGAACCUCCAUAGGAUAGUUGUUAGUUAAGAACACCUAGAGAAGCUAUUCUCAAUCUAAACUUGAGCUUGAUAAAUAACAAUAGAAAUGCUAUUACAGAGUUGUCAAGGGAAGCCAAAAGAAAAACUCAAAAUGCAUACAUUAACACAAUGUCAAAUAAUAUAACCCCCCUAUCCGUUUACCAUGCCCAAUCGUCUCGCAAGUCUUGAGAUUCUGAAAAGAGCAAUGUGUAGGAUAGAAAGUAGCAGAAGCAUUCAGUGUAUUAAGUAAUCAGCCAACAGACAAUAAGUUACAAUGGAUAUUAGGAACGAGUAACGCACGAGACAAGGACAAAGUAGGAGUGAGAGAGAUUGUGCCCUCGCCAGUAAUUGGAGAGGGCAAGCCAUUAGCACUAGUUAUGUAUGGGUCACGGGUGUUACUAGACAAGGAGAGAGGGCAUGUUGCUUCUAGUAUUGAUUCAUACAAAGCAACAUGGAGUGUCAGAGCAAGAGACACUUGAUGGUUUCAACAAACAAGUUGUGGAUUUGUGGAAGGAUAUAAACGAGGAGCUCCUCAUAAAGCCAACUGUUGUGGCAAGGCCUGUCCUCAUGCGCGUUCUGAAUUUAACAAGAGUUGUGGAUCUGCUUUACAAAAGGGGAGAUGCCUUCACACAUGUUGGAAAACUUAUGAAAGAUAUUGUUGCUUCACUUUUUAUUGAUCCUGUGUUACUUUAAGUUGGAUUCCUUGUUAACUUUGUAAUUUCUAACUACCUCAAUAAUCACAAAAAAUGCAAGGAAUUCGUACCUCAAGUGGUUAAAAGCAUUUAUCCUUACAUCUCCUAUGUUCGAUUCCCUAUUCUUCCAAUAUCUCUUGUAUAAAUAAAUAAAUAAAUAAUCACAUAAAAAUGUCACAUUUACUUAUUUAUUCUAGAUCACUAAAGUUCAAACGCUCUUAAGUUUGGGCCAAAAAAUAUUUGUCCUCUUCAAAAAAGGUCAUCAUCCCCAUGGAGAAUACUUUCUUUGGUUCAAGAUAUACGAACUCUUUGUCAAUAUAUUCAAGUUUCAACAUGUCUACUGGGAAGCAAACUUCGUAGCAUAUCUUUUGGAAAUGCUAGGCCAUGAUCAGACCAACCUUCCAUUUGGUUUUCUAAUUUCCUUUUUCGUUGUUUGUAAAGUUUUAUAUGAUCUCCGGAGUUUAGGAAUCCAAUGCGGAUUCUCAUUGUAACUUCAUUUGACGUAAAAAAGCACACAAUGUGGGUUGUCUAAUGUUGUUAUGGGCGCUAGAUUUGUUCACUGAACUUGUCACGAUCCCAUAAUUUUUCAGAGCGAGGAACUGAUAUAAAAGGAGGAACAAUCUCACCUUUUUUUUCUUCUCAUAUGAAUGAUUAAUAAAAGAUGAUUUGUUUAUCCAUUGUAGUUUUGGAGGGAGGAGAUGAGUUCUAUCAACUGUUGAGUGAGGGACAAAUUUCAAGUGUCCAAAGAAAAAUAUUUUAAAUAAGUAAAAGGAUGAGCAUUCUUGAAAGAAUACUAAUUUGUUUUAGGUGUUCAUAGCAUGUUUUAUUUUUGGUCAAUAAGUUCAGAGCAUGUUCAAAUCAUAAAGUGGGUCUCCAAAGAAAUAAGAGUGGUGUUCAUAAAAUAAUAAACAAAUCAGAGCGUGUUCAAAUUGUAAACAGAAUCCCUCUAAACCUAAUUAGCCAUAAGACCAUCUCCAACCAUAAAAAUGACUAAACUUAAAUUUUCACUCCCAAAAUACAACUAUUCAUGUAUUGUUUGGACUCAAAUAGUUUUUUUCUCCAAUCUUGUAGGACUCAAAAUUUGAGUCCGAUGCUUUAUUAAUUGUUUAAUAAUGGUUUACCUCUACGAAUUUUUUGUGUUUAAUUUUGGUUUAUACCAUUGUGCUUUUGUUUUUAUCACAAAUAAAAUAAUAAUAAACUAAAAUAACUAGUUUUGAGUUUUAGCUCCUAUCCCUCACCACCACUAGAGUCAUAAAAAAUUGAGAAAUAGCUUAAAAUGACACCCAUUUUAUAAUUUUAAUUAAAAAUACCACUCCUUCCCAAUUUUUGUACAACUAUCACCUAUAAAUAUAAAAUUAUUGUCCACUUAUUGCUGAUUUUUCACAAGUUCAGAAAUUUUGUUCUCUCUUAGCUCACACAGCUCACUCUUUCUCUGUGGCACAGCUCUCUUUCUCUUUGGUAUCUGUCUAUCAUAGCUCUCUAUGUCUCUCUUGGCUCUCUCUAUCUUGGCUCUCUCUCUCUCUCUAGCACAACUCUCUGUCUCUCUCUUUGCUCUCUUUCUCAUAGCGCAGCUGUUUCUCUCUCUAGCUUCGUUAUGUCUCUUUCUCCCCUAUUCGAUGUCUUGCUCUCUGUUUGGAAUCACGAACCCCUCCCUUUAGCUAUGUCUUCUGAAUAGCUGCUUGCAACCUUGAAGCUCUAGUGGAUUGCCGACCUCGAAAAGGUAGUGUUGAUGGUUAUUUUCUUAAUAUAAGUGGGAUUAUGUGAAAUGGGUUAUAGUUUGAUUGUUUGGGUUUGUGUUAAAUUCGUUUUGGCUUUAAUUUCUUUGGGUUAGGUUUUGUUGAAUAUUCAUGCUCAUUGAUCUGGGUUUGUACCAAUUGCAUUUAGAUUGGUCUGGAUAUGUGAAUCUUGAAACUUGGAAUUUUCCAUUUGAUGUAGUAGAUCUGUAUAGUGUGAUUCUGAUGUGUUACUGGUGUACUGCUGUUGUGUUCCUCUUAUUUUACAGUCGUAUUGCUGUUAUAUUGCUUAUAUAUUGCUGCUAUAUUGCUCUUAUAUUGUGGUUAUAUUGCUAUUGUAUUGUAUGGUUAUUGUGGUUAUAUUGUGUUAAUGAAAUGUUGUUUUGUCAUGGUCAGAAAUGGAGACAAUUGUUAUUCUCGUGUGCUACAAUGAAAAAUGGGUCACCUCGAAGAAGAUGUGCAAAUACAAAGGGGGUGACUCAAAAGGCUUAAUAGUUCCACGGACCAUCAAAUUUGCUGAACUGUUGGACCGUGUGCAUCAGAUUGGUAAUACAAACAGCAAGGAAGACAAGGUUUGCUUAAAAUUCUCAAUUUUGGUGGCCUCGAAUGAGUGGAAGCACAUAAAGAUUGAGGACGAUGAUGAUGUCAAUUUUUUUAUGAAGUACAAUUCCGAGGUAACACCUUCAAAACUAGCUCCCUUACUCGUGAGUAUAGAAGAUAGAGGACUGACAAAUGAUGUAGUUCAUAGUAUGCAUAUCACGACAGAUAGUAGUCGGAUGGGUCAUUCUUCAGUUGCCAUUGUUGAAAGCAAUGAAGUAACUUGGAAUAAUACAAAUGUCACUGAUGUGGGAGGUGAAGUAGGGACAGAUUUUAUGGAUAUGAUUGAUUUUAGCGAGGUGAAGGAGAUGCAUGUGGUGAUAAUGGUACUGAAAGAAAUGAAGUGUCAGUGUACUCUACCCUUCAUAAUUUGGGCUGCUUGAACACAGCUGCCCAGUUGCCAAUAAUGCAUUUAGGAGGAGAAUCUGAACCCACUCGUCAACAUUAUUGGAGUCAAAUGGGUGAACAAAAUCGGUACAAUGCAGCCGAUGUAAAUGAUGAAGAAGCAUAUUUGGAUAGCGGGUUUUCACGAAGUGAUUGGAAUCCGAAAAUUACAGUUGGGCAAAUUUCCUCUAGUAAGAAAGCAUUGUUGACGGAGUUACGGUUGACGACAUUAAGAGGCCACUUUGAAUUUGAGGUGCAAUUCUCUUGCACUAAGAGGCUGCUUGUGCUUUGUUGUCAACGUCCAUGCCCAUGGCGGGUCCGAGCAUCGAGAAUUGGAGAAUACAGCUUCAUGAUUGUGAGGUUUACAACUGUCCAUGAAUGUGAUUUGAGGUUCUUAAGUGACAAGCAUCGUCAAGCAACCGCAGCACUUGUAGCCACUUCACUUAAAAGGAAGUUGAAGGAUUCUCGGACAAUAUACACACCAAGUGACAUUAUGAGAGAUGUGAAACACAACUUUGGUUGCACCAUCCAUUAUUCGAAAGCUUGGAAAGCAAGGGAGUUAGCUCUAUUGUCCAUUAGAGGAUCAGCGGAGGAGGCAUAUUAUAUCCUUCCAGCUUAUUGCUAUGAAUUGGAGCGUAUGAAUCUCGGCACAAAAACACACAUCCAAACUGAUGAGAACAAUCACUUUGUGUAUUUAUUUAUGGCGGUUGGCUCAUGUAUUAGAGGGUUCCGUUCUUCCAUGCGCCCAGUGAUAGCCGUGGAUGCCGCUCAUUUAAAAUCCAAGUACAAGGGUGUUAUGUUUGUAGCAAAUGCAUUCGAUGGUAAUCGAAAUAUAUAUCCUCUUGCUUUUGGGAUCGGGGAUUUGGAGACGGAUGCAUCAUGGCAUUGGUUUUUCACUAAACUUCAUGAAGCCAUUGGUGAGUGUCCCAAUCUUGUUAUUAUUUAUGAUCGCAAUGUUAGCAUAGAGAAUGUGUGGAACAAAAUUUUUCCAACUGCACAACAUGGCAUAUGCUUUUAUCAUAUGAAGGGGAACAUGAAACGCACUUGCAAGUUGAAAAAGCGCGAUCACAUACUUAUGCACUUUGAGCAGGUUGCGAAAUCUUAUUCCAUUGUUGAAUUUGAUUGUCAUUUUCGCAAGAUCAAGUGAAAGGAACAUGUUGCUCAAUAUCUUGAAGAGGCAGGGUUACAUAAGUGGUCUAGAGCUCACAUGGAUGGACGCCGCUACAAUGUAAUGACAACAAAUAUUGCGAAGUCAAUCAACUCAGUCCUUAGGUUUGCAAGGAUGCUACCAGUGGUUCAUUUGAUAGGGGAAAUUGUUAAUCUCCUUGUGAAAUGGUUCACCGAACGUCGUGAGUUGGCUUUGAAUUGCACAACAACAUUGUGCCCCAAUUUUGGAGAGAAGAAGUUGAGGAACAGGUUGGAGGAUGCUGCAAGGAUGAAUGUGGUUAAAGUAAAUAAUGCAUAGUUUAAUGUUUUGGACAGUGAUAUGGACGGCCUCGUAGAUUUGACGAACAACAGUUGUAGUUGUAGAAAGUUUCAGCUUGAGCAGCUACCUUGCAAGCAUGUAGUUGCAGUUUGCCGCUUCUUGAAAGUAAAUGUAUACGCAAAGGCUUCUCGGUAUUACACUCAAAAAACCUGGAUGGAUGCUUAUUCGGAUAGCAUCUACCCGGUACAACCUCAUGGAAUAUGGGAUAUUCCUGAAGAUGUUCGAAGUCGAGUUGUGCUACCUCCCAUGGCAAGGGUCAUGCCAGGCAGAUGAAAGAAAAUAAGAAUUCCCUCGCAAGGAGAGGGCACCAUUAGAAGAAAGUGCUCAAGGUGUGGUUCCGCAGGCCACAAUAAAAGCACCUGUAAAAACAAUAUUCCAUUGCGCAAUGUAUCUUAGACAAUAUGAUUUGUGUUGCUUUGGUAGGUCAUGUAAACUCUACUUUUAUUUGUGGUGGGUUUCGUGUUAUGUUGAAUGGGAAUUCUUUUAAAUUUGCAUAAUUUGGGUUGCAUUGCUACAGCAUGCUGUAUUGCUGACAGAUUGCUAUUAUAUUGAACUUUUAUUGUACUGGUAUUGCUUCCAGAUUGCUAUUAUAAUUUGAGUGUGAAAUUAAAGGGACUAGAAUGUAAUUCCAAAUGGAUCCAAAACAUUAAAGUUCUUAGAAUUCCUAUAUUACACAGUUACUGUGAUACUUCGACUAUACCUUCUUUUCUUAUUACAAAUUCGGCCGAUGCAUAGGCCAGAUGUGGGGCAAAUACAAGGUGAAAUGUCCUAUGUGUUUGACUACAUAUACUUGUUGAAGGAGCAUUACGAAUGUUAACCUCAAUAGAUUGCUCAUGUCUUGCCAAGAACACUCUUGAAUUUAUGCAAUGUGCCCAAGCCAGUCCCAAAGUUGGACUCACUCGUCUGCCUGAUGUGUCCAGGGACUCCAAGUUUCCCAACCUCACCCCAUUCACUUUAUCAUGUGGCCCAAUAAAAUCCACCACUUGGUUGGUGACAACCACCGCCAACCCAAACUUAUUUGCUAAACCCUUCAAUGUCCCAGAUAUGUUGAAGAACAUUUCAGACUGCCGUUUCAAAUUUGCCGGUGUUGUCUGAUACUGUGAUCGGAACAAUGCAGCAAUGGAAUCAAUGACAAUGAGUUUCACAGGUAGGCGGGUGUGAUCAAUGGCAAUAAAUGCUUCUAUGUCUCCAAGGACAUGGAUGAGUUGUUGAGCAUCAUGAACACCAUGAACAUAUAUGUCUUCCAAUGGCUCCAACCUUAUUAAGUUGGGGUAUGAUGCAUGAUAAAGGUUGCCUAGUUGUUGCAAUCGACGAAAUGGGAAGCUGAAUUCUGUGAAUAUGUAGACGGAGGAGCCCCCUAGUCCGCCAUGUCAGGGUGGGAACUGAGCUCGUACCGUAAGUUGGAGACAAAGCUGCGUCUUCCCGGAACCACUCUCCCCUACCAAUUCUGUUAUGGAGUUGCAGGGUAUCCCACCCCCCAAGCAGUCAUCUAGUAUUGGGCAUCCAAUGGAUAAUUUAGGAGUUGAAAGAGGAAGGAGCAUGAGGUUUUGGGGUGUCAUGUUUGUAUAAUUUAGUGGGGGAUGUGAUGGUGCUACAAGGCAUGCGUUAUAUAUAUAUAGAGUUCAUUUUGAAGGUCUGUACUGUAGGCCAUAUGUCUUUUAAGGGAUGUAUAAUUCAUUCUUUUUCCAGGUUGUAAUUACUUUUUUGUUUAUUUAUUAGUAUUUUUUUGGACCAAAUAAUUUAAAAAACAUUCUGAUGCAGUACGUACUAUAAUAGGAUCAUAUUGUAACUCUAUCAUCACUCUAUUGUACUCUUAUUGACAUAAUAUUGCCAUUAUUCGCAUGUUUAUUGUAUAGUUAUUGCUGCUAUAUCGCCACUGAACUGGACAACAACAGGCCACCCCAUCGUUACAUAAUACAAAAAUACGCCACCUCAUAGUUCCAUUUCCCUGCUGUUGAUAAAUUCGAAGUUGCAUACUCUUCAAUUGCGGUGACCGCGACCCAUGAAAUUCAUGACCCCGGCCACAGUGAUGUUGGCCCAGUUUCCUGCCGAAUCCACUAUUUUUGCAAACUUACGAAAUAGUUCGAAUCCGCUUUCCACUUCUUCUUGCUUCAACUUGGCCAUUGCUUCUGAUUCCUUGAAUACCAUAAUUGCAGUGGCAGGGGCAAUUUCAAUUUUUGCUUUCAUUGUCUUUAUAUGUAGGAGAUGCAUGCGCGCAUGAUAACGAGAGCGAAUUGUGCGGUUUUUUAUGACACCCCAUCUAGCUUGGCCCUCCACAAUUUUUGAAACUAUGUCUGCAUGAAGGUUUUUCUAAAACAUGGUAUUGCCUCGACAUUGCUGCAUGCCAUGGACCAAGUCUGCAGGGAGUGAAUUGGGUGACUUAGCUUGUGUUUCAAUCUCCCCUCCUUCAGUAAUUGAAAGCGUUGGGUUUGGUGUGAGGUUAUGGUCCAUGGUCUUCGAUAUUUAUUGUAGCCUGGUGUACAACUUAAUUGGAAAAAAAGGGGACUAAAUGCGAUGUGAGUGAAAUCAGUGGGGAAGGUAAUGGCUGUAAGCAGGAGUUAAUGUGAUGGAAGUUUUCAUUUCAAACAGCUGGAUUGAUUAAUAUAGGCAGGUUUUAAUGACCUAGAGUAACUCAAAGAGUUAUUGGCAGGAGGGAUUAGGGGGGGCAAUUGGCAGGAGGGAUUGGCGGGAGUCUUAGGCGGGAUAGUAUUUGGCGGGAGUUAUUACCCAGUUGACUGUAUGCCUUUUUGUAAUAUAUUUGUAUGUUGGACGUUCUGAACUUGGUAAUUUUCCCAUUAUGUAAUUCAAAUAAGGGAUUUGCCUAUUUGCCUAAUUGACCAACUCAUUCAAAUUGACCAAUAUGGUUAUUGUCUUAUUUCUCAUUUCAGCAAUCUCAAUUCGUUUCCAUUUUUCCAUUAUUCAUAUUUUCCUAUUUUCCAUGUGUCAUCCAAUUUUCCAAUUUUCCAAUUUUUCAUUAUUUUUGCCUAUUUUUUCCUAUUCCCUAUUUUCCUAUUGUGCAAUUUCCCAAGUUUCCUUUUGUUCUAUUUCCAGUUUUCCAAUUUUUCAAUGUUCCCAUUUUCCCAUUAUGUAAUUAAAAAAAGUUGCCUACUUUGCCUAAUUCAGAAAGUAAUUAAAAUUGUCCAAUAUGGUAAUUGUCUUAUUUCCCAUUUCCACAAUUUCAAUUCGUUUCCAAUUUUCUUAUUUUCCAUGUGUCCCUGUUUCCUAUUUCCAUUUUUCAAAUUUUAAGUUUUUGUCCAAUUAUCCAAUAUUCUUUUUUCCAAUUGGACUAUUUUCUAAGUUUCCUUUUUUUCCUAUUUCCAAUUUUCCAAUUUUUCAAUUUGCUAACUUUCCUUUUGUUCUAUUUCCAAUUUUGCUAUUUUCCAAGUUGCCUUAUUUCCUAUUUUUCAAUUAUCCAGUUAUCCAAUAUUCCAAUUUUCCAAUUAUCCAAUUUUCAAUUUUCCAAUUUGCGAAUUUGCCUAUCUUCCAAGUGUCCUUUUUUCCUAUUUUCUAUUUCGAAUUUUCGAAUUUUCAUGUUUUCAGAGUUUUCGUUUUUUCCUUUUUCCUAUUUUCCUAUUUUCCAAGUUUCCUUUUGUCCAAUUUUAAAUUUUCCAAUUUUCCAAUUACCCAAAUUUCCUAUUUCCAAUUUCCAAAUUUCCUAUUUUCCAAGUGUCCUUUUUUCCUUUUUCCAAUUUUUCAAUUUUUCAAGUGUCAUUUUAUCCUAUUGCCUAGUUUCCUCUUUCCAAUUUUUCCUUUUUUCCUAUUUCCAAUUUUUCAAUUUUCCAAAUUUCCAACUUUCCAUUUUUUUGUAUUUCCGAUUUUCCAAUUUUCCUUUUGUUCUAUUUCCAAUUUUCCAAUUUUCCAAUUUUCCAAUUUUCCAAUUUUCCAAUUUUCUGUUCUGAAAUUCGCAAUAAAUGCUUAGUUACAUAGUCCUAUUUUGGGUUGAAAUCCACAAUUUCCAAUUCCCAUUAAGGUUUGCUUUUUUGUCGUUUGGAAGCCAAUUUUAUUAUUGUUAAUGUAAUGUUGUACUGCUGUAAAUUACAGCCAAGGAGUUAAUGGUGUAGUUUGCAAUCCCAUCAAUUGAAUGCACCAACUAAAUACCCAAUAUACUUCAUAUCAGUUCGUACAUAUAACUGAACCUUCCUAUAUAGAACUGCAACAGAGCCACCUUCUUAACGGGAAAGGUAAUUAGUCUUACUGAAACGCAAAUAUUUUCCACUAAAGCUAACCAUAUUGUCGUUUACAACUGGAGACUGAAUGUACCUUUAUUUGUUUUGUUGCAGGUAACAGCUGUGAAUUAUCCCCAGCAAUACUUAAAGAUGUCGGAUGUACGCCCUCCAAACGAGCAUGUCAGUUACCCGGGGGACCAGCCGUGGCAUGUGCCAUUCCCAUCUCCACCUCGGACUCUCAAUCAUGAUCCCACUUCAUCUGGAAGUGAGGCUGAGAGCAAUGAUCCGAUUGACAAAAUCUCUGCCGUCAAGCACCACCUCCAAUAUAUGUCAAAGGCAACGGAUUGGUGGGAGAGUAAGUGCGAUAUUCAUGGCCAAGUUAUGGGAAACUUGGCCAACAAGUUGAACAAAGCAUACGCUGGAGAGGUGAAGCAAACUAUAAAAGCAAAAAGUUGGAGCAAAGAGUUAGAGUCCUUGAAGUUGAAACUGGAAGAGAGAAAGAAAAAUGCCAUCGAAAAAUUCACACAAUCUGAAGAAUAUAACCAUGAAAUGGUUGAAUGUUUCAACAAUGACUUCGAAAUGUUCCGAGAUUAUGCUUCGGUCAUCUCACCAGACUACAAUUGGAGUGAAAUUGAUGUAGCAGGUGUCUGGCAGGUGCUGAAUAUGGGUGUUGAGGGAAUGGCUCAUCAUAGCCUUGUGCAUGCAGCGAGGAGAAAGGACAAAGACAUGGAUCUUUUGAUGGACCUGUAGUAACGGUGAGUGCUGCUUCAGUUCAUCUCACCCGAGUACAUGGAUCUUUUGUUGCCUUCAUUUUUCCUUCGCGGGAUAGUAUUGUUAAGGUUCGGUGGCGAUUUCUUUUGCAUGUGUAAAAUGUUGUCUGUAAUGUGUAUGUAUUGUAUGUAGAUUGACUUAAUAUUGUAGUUCUAUUGCAUUUAUAUUGCCUUAAUAUUGCCUUUGUAUUGCAUAGAUAGUGUAUGCAUAUUGCCACCUAUUGGAUGUAUAUUGUAAAACUAUUGCUAUCGUAUUGCCCUUAUAUUGCUCUAAUAUUGCCCCUAUAGUGCACCUAUAUUGACCUAAUAUUUCUCUUAUAUCGUAUGUCAAUGGCAUAUGCUCUAAUAAGUCUCCACUUCGUUGAAAGUAAUCUUGAAUUCAAAUAUGACGGACACGACAAUUGUUAUCCAUCCUUAUAUUACCAUGAAUUGAUUUGGACCUUUCAAAUGAUAGUUGGAGUUGCACAUGGAUUCAUAUUCAAAAGGAAAGUAAUUCUCUUCCUCAAUGAAUUGUCGUUCAAAAGAAGGCAGCUAUCAAAUAUUGGGUACAAAAAUGCAACAUCCACGGUAAAUUAAUUGGGCACAAACCACAUAUUACAAAACCAGGAUGAUUUUUGGCAUGCUUGAAAAGAGAAGGGCCAAAUACAAUAGAAAAGAAAAUCCAUUCAAGCUUGUACAAUGGAAUGCACAAUAACCCUUUUACAUGUCCUUCCAACACUAGUGUUUUGCCUACUUUAGAGUCGCAGGAGGAGAGCAUAUUGCCAUUGUGCAAUUCGAGGGGGCAGUCAAUUUGGAAUGGUGGCAUAAACAUGUUUACUCCACGGAUCACCUCUAUGGGACAGAGCUUCCUUCUUCCCUUGUCGUCUGUAGGUUUCAACUUCACACUUUUUAUAUACAUGUAUGAGAACUUGUGGCUAUUUAUUUAUGGCCUUCUAACACUUGUUCUGCCAUUCCAAAGUGGGUUGGAGACUUUUUGAGUUGAAUGACUGGAAAGACUUCAGAUGACAAAAACUAGAGAUUUUGAAGAAAAAGGGUUACCAAGAACAUAAGUCAUGCCCACAAAAUAAACUAAACAUGCUAUAAGCUCCACAGUAAUAUUUACUUCAUCUCCAUAAUCAGAAUAUUGGGGAAAAAAUACCACGGAGAAAUACGUGAAAUGAAAAACAACUCAGCAGUUACUGUGAGAUUGUGUACAUAAAACUUGGAACAACCAAACCGAUUAAAGCUAAGCCAUCUCAUACGUACACCUACAUCAAAUAACAGUGUAUGGUCAUCUUGUUUAGAAUAUUGCAAUCAACACUUGGUUGAGACUGACCUGCAAAAACAACUGGGUUAAGUACAGAUGAAGCCACUUAUGAAGGGCAGUUCCAGAAUUAAGACCUAUGUUAAUUUGUAAUUGCCACCGAAUCAGUUCAUAGUGCCAAAUGCAUCUACCGGGCACACAGAUAUGACCAACGAAAAGAAAAGAAAGCAAAGUAAAAAAGAAAAAGAGGCAUGCCAUAAAUGGCAACUCAGCAGAAAUCAUCAGAUAUGCAUACAAGCNNNNNNNNNNNNNNNNNNNNNNNNNNNNNNNNNNNNNNNNNNNNNNNNNNNNNNNNNNNNNNNNNNNNNNNNNNNNNNNNNNNNNNNNNNNNNNNNNNNNNNNNNNNNNNNNNNNNNNNNNNNNNNNNNNNNNNNNNNNNNNNNNNNNNNNNNNNNNNNNNNNNNNNNNNNNNNNNNNNNNNNNNNNNNNNNNNNNNNNNNNNNNNNNNNNNNNNNNNNNNNNNNNNNNNNNNNNNNNNNNNNNNNNNNNNNNNNNNNNNNNNNNNNNNNNNNNNNNNNNNNNNNNNNNNNNNNNNNNNNNNNNNNNNNNNNNCAUUUGGUUUAAACACAACAUGUGAUUAGUAACAUUUAGUUUUACCCUUUUAUUCUUAUUUUCUUCGUUCAAACAUGGUGGUGAGACAAGCUCCAAACCAUCCCAUCAUAUAAAGCAAAACUCAUACAAUAUUUAUAGAUGCAAAAGUUAUAUAUUUUAUAUAUAUGCAUCAUCCGCAUUGCUUGAAAUUACAAAUUCACGUUCACAUAUUACUUUCCACAAGCGCACAGACUAACAAUAAUACUAAUCAACCAACCAGCUGUGACAUUCCUCCUAUUACUUCCAUAUUGAUAAUGUCAGAAGUUUCAUCGAUAAGCCUCAUCAAACUAGAAGUUUUUUAAUUUGAAUUAUGAAUUCAGAACUAAAAGCUCAUGAUAUGCAGAAAAUGACAUACAUUGUCCAGAAUUGACUUUCGAUAUAUUUCUGCUCUAGCAAUUUAUCGUCCAAAUUCUGGACUCUCUAUGUCAGGUGCUUCUUUGUGUUCUGUCCAGCAUAAGAAUGUUUAAUACUGUGAUUUCAAUUGUUUAUACAAAUUCUAUAAGUAAUAUUGAUCAGUGCUGUAAAUCUAUUUGAUGUUGGGAACAAACAUGGUCCCAUUAACAGAAACUCAAACAAAACAGGAAUUUUUUUUUUUUUGGCAUAGACAGCUGAAAAGAAACUUACAGCAAUAGCCUCUGUCACGCUCUCCAGAUGUUUAUGCUAGUUUGAAACAGCAGUAGUCAUACUACGCUUUGUCACAUACAAAAGAUCUGACAAUUUUAGACCCUAACCAUUUGUGAAGAGCAAAUAUUAGAUUUGCUUAAAGAAGACAACAACUCACAGAACCAAUGGAUGAAAUAAUAUGAACAUAAAUAUAUCAUCUGGAUACCUUCCACCACAUGUAACCAUAACCCAAUGCCCCCAAGGUAGCUGUUGGCAUUAUUAGUGAUGUCAAACCUAUUACAAAAAUCAAAGAAAAAAUAUAACCAAGUAUAAAAUGUUUCUAUUGCAUUAUGAAAUACAUACGUGUAAGGAAUUAAUCGUUUUACAACUUAACCAAAAAGUAAGGGCAGGAGCAUGCAUUCAUUGAGUGGUUAUAAGCAAGAGGAAAAAGCACAAAGCAUGCUAAGAAUUCAUUUGAACACAGAAGAGAAAGUAAACUACCUUGCAAUUUGGCUGUCAUUCCCCUUUAGGACGGCUCUCUGUAGUGAUGAGCCAAGUUGCCGGACCUCAGCUGCCAGUCGGCGCACCUAAAACAAAGUAACACAGGAAAAUUGAUAUCCAUUACAAAAAACAAAAAUUGAACACGAGAAAGCAUCCUUCGACACUAAAUUUAUAGCAGUUUUUCCAAUACCUGUGAUGCAAUCGCAUAAAAGUCACCUUCUGAUUGUUCUCCGGUUCUAUUGAACAAAGGCUGCAAACAAAACAGAAAUAAACACAAAUCCAUCAAUUUUUUGAGCAACAAGACACAAGCUCCUAAAUAAAUAAACUAUCUAACUGAUCAAAACCCUAGUUUACCAAAUGCAUUACAAAAUUGAAAACUAAUACAAAAAUAACACCAAAUACAAAUGUUCUGCGAGUUCCAUUAGCAAAGCAGAGUACAAAUCAUGAAAAUGGUACCUGAAGUUCACCGAUCAAUUCAGAUAAUUUACCAUUCUUACGCAGGAUGGUGCUAGUAUACCCUGCACAAAGAGAACAAUCACUCAGAUCGAAUACAGCUAAAUACACAAGGAAACUAAUCCAGUAUGCAAGCUGAAAGAGGAGUGAUUGGUACCUACUCCAGCUAAGAUCAGCAAACACAGUAUGAGGUUCCAAAUUUAAAUAACAACAUAAUGCUAAGCAGAAAAGUGGAAUUGCUGCCGAAAUUAUUUAAAACGAACUAAGUCAAAACUAAAUGGAGAAAUGUUAACAAAGUUGUAUGCUUCAGUAAGUCCAGUAAUAGAUUCCCAAAACCACAGAGAAAAAAUGUGAACAAUGGCUACAAAAGCAUCCAUAAAGAGCAACUAUAUUUAUAUAUGGAGGUGUACAAAAUAGUUAACCUUCAAAAUCGAAACAGUGUGUGUGCCAUGUAAGGCAAUUAGCCACUGCUUCUAGACUGUACAAUAUUACACCUCACAAUAAUAACUAAACCAACUAGCUCUAGCAAAAAGGCAGGAUGACCAUAUAAAGUACCCCCAGCAAAGCAUCUACGUCUGCAUCUUCAUAUAAAGGAGUUCCUGACAUAAGUAAUGAGCAAAGUGAAUUCCCAAGUCCAGAGUGAGGUGAAUUCACGGACAUUAAGACAUUUACCUCAUAAAUAUGCCUCCCCCCUUAAACCCUCAAUUGCAAGCUUCAGUCGGUAAUAUUUGAUCUUCAAAGGGUCAACUUUAUCCACUGAGAUGCUCGAUGAAUUUGACGGUCAUGAUUCUGCAAGACGUACUGUGAGGCCAAUAAGUUGGGAAAUUAGAACUGCAGUUAUGUAAAAUUUGGAUAAACUGCACUAAAUUCACAAAGCUUACCCAUCUCGUUGUUGUGGCACAUCUGCAAUGCUGCAAACUGAGAAUGGCGUAAACCUUGACAUCUUCAGCCCCUUUUGCUUAACCUCUUCAGCCUCAGAAUCUUCAUAAAAGUGCAUAUCGUACAGCACUCGUGCCAGCGUAUCGCUAAUAGGGUGCAGAAGUGUAACCAGCUUCGAAGAUUUGGUAAAAGCAACAUAGGAGUCAUACACAGUUGCAGUAUGUCUGACGAAAUCAAUUUCGAUUGCAACCCAGUGGGACCCUUGAAGAUUAUAUGGAAAAUAGACCUUUCGGACUUUUGUCCAAGCUUGGCCAUACCCGUGUUGCCACGUACCGCGCACAUAGUGAUGUAUAUUGUUCAGCUUACUGGGUGGAAGGACAACGGUGUUUGAAGCAGCUGCCUUCUUCGAUCCACAUUUCUUGGCAGUCGGUUUAAACGGCUCUAGAAAUUGCUGCAGAAAUUGAAAUGAAGGCAUAUUAGAAAAUCACAACCGAAAGCAAAUGAAGCAGUGAAUGUAGCAUGGUAACAUGUUUACCUGCAAGCAACAAUCUGCCGUUGUCCAGUCAGUUCCAAAUACCAACGGAUGAGAGAGUUGCCUUUUCUGGAUAAGAAAGGUUGCCAUGUCCAGGUGCUGAAAGUUGACGCAUAUAAUAUCAGCACAAUUUCAUACAACUGUACACUUAAAAAAGGUGAGAAAACAAUUGAAUUAUCGUAAUAAAGUAAAGCUUUGUGUAUUCUUACCCUUGAGCUAAUCCAUUUCAUUUCAUUGAUAAGUCUGUAGAAAAAAUCAACGCCCACUGAAAAUGAUUCCAGCUGCACCUCCGCACUACAAAAGGCAAACUUGCAACGGUUACUUUUGUAGUCAUCUCAUAAUUCUGACUUUGUUGAUGACAAAAAUACACAUGUAUAUUAAAGCAAACUCUACAUUUUCUCAUUAGUCUAUGACUACAUACUAGAAUAGGAUGAAGAUUGGAUUUCAAAGGUAAAGAAUCCUAACCUGAUAUCGUUUUUCCAGGCAGUGCAAAACUCUAUUACUGCCUUCACAUCUUCAAUGGGCAGGGAUUUUGAUGGAUCAAAACAUGGCGGGGUGACAGUCGCAGCCGACACACUCAUCGUCCUCUUCUUACUCAAAGGAUCAGUAAAUGGGCUCAACAAUGUCUGCACCGGGCGCUUCUGUCUACACCCUUUACCUUCCACUUCUUUUUUUUCAACACUCGAACUACCUUCUUCAUCACCAGCCAUACUAACUGUGGGUAGACUUGGAGGAUUCAUCGGACCUCCCGAUGGCAUACUCUCAGUCAUUUUCCAAUCUUCUAACAAAGACAACACUCUUUGGCAGAUUUAGUCACACCCGGCCACAUCUUCCGGGGUAGGCAGCUUCUCGGAUUGUGCCUGCUCAGCUGCUUCAUGCACUUGUAAGUGAGGAACUGAAGCGGCCAUUUCUACCUCUUCGACUACCAUGGCUACGGAAGGUUCGGCUCUAUCAUCGGGGACUUGUGUUUCCAUUACUGCCAGUUCUGUAGGCGGACUAACAUAGUCAUGUAAUGGCGACAAGUCAUUGUCGCCUCCUUCAUUCAUAUGAGGACUACCGAGGUCCUCAUGUCCUUCUCCACCUUCAUUCACCCCACCAUUUCAUUUUUUCGGCUGCUCUAUCUCCACCUUAAAAUAAUGCUCAAUUGAAGCCAGGGUGUUGCGGAAAUCCUUCACACACUUUUUAUUUUUUUCGAACUCUCUUUCAACUUUCAAUGACUCCUUUCAUACCAUGUCUUCCAACUGAUGCACUCUGUUGCGAAGCGCUCGAUUUGAUAUGGCAACUUUGGCCAAUUCAUCCUUUGUCCUUUGAAAGUCACGCUUCAAAGUGCAUAACACAGUGGAUGCGACUGUACCCUGCAUUCAGUUAUAAUGCAAGUGUUACAAUAUUUUCAAAAUAUAUUGCAACAAUACAGCAGUUAUUUUCCUAUUGUAUUAUGACGUAUAUCUUGGAAAAAAUGUAAUGCUUGCCUUGGAAGACGACGGAAGGCUAGCAGUUUCGUCAAUGUCCUUAUCUUUUUCAUCUCCAGAGGCAGAAGUGCUGGUUUUUUGUUCAGUGUCAUCGCCAAACAACUCAACAAGUUCUUCAGUGUCGUCAACACUGUCACCCCAAGUCCAAUACGGCUGCUGCUUGUCGAUUACAGAUGGUCGGAGAAGUUGCACAUCAACCUGCAAUUUACACAUACAAUAUACAUAUCAGUAAACUUAUUAUAUUAUAUUUUCAUAUGCCUAACAUUAUCAUUAAAAACUUAACUAACCUCACGGUUCUCGAAUACUUGGCUCAUUAGCUCAUAAAAACACGGCGAACUAUUGCUCCUCCAAUGUAGUAAACGAGAGAUGUAGGCAUUAUCUUCGUGCACCACCAAAUGUAGUGCAGCCAAUGCUGGAAAUACCUCAUAAGCCCAAAUCUGGUUUGAGGAAUAAAACAUGAGUCACUGUAAACAAAUGAAAUUUAACUUCAAUAUGAAUGGAAAUUUGCUCACCUGAAGUGCAUAGGCAAAACCUUUGAGGUGGUACUCUCUUGGUCUACCAGUUACCGUUGUUUUUGCUUUUUUUUUUUUCAGAUUUUUUUGUUUUUACAGCUUUUUUGGGCACUUUCACUCUCUGGUAAUCUGCACAAAGUGCCCUCAGAAGUGACGCAUUUGUCUUGGCAUAACACAUAACACCCCAUGGAUAUUUCCCAAACUCUUCAAGGUCUUCCGCCAACUUCAAAUAUCGCAUGUCAAUGUGGACAUGUUUUUCACUACCCAACAGCACAAACACAGCAAAGUAUACAAAUCCGAGCUUCAAUACAUCGUCCGCAUCAGCGCAUUCGAGGAAGGCCUUUUUCUAAUUCCAAAAGGUUGACAGUUUUAUCGUUGCCAAAGUACUUCCUUUUCAAUGAGCAGUUCUCAUUAGUGGGAAUCAGAAUAAAGGGAAGGUUUCCAAACCUUAGCCCUGUCACGAUGCAAAAUUGCUGCGCCAUGAAUUGGAUCGCCUUAUUGCCAACGAUGACUUUGAUCCCGUUCAGUUGGGAAACUGUCUUUGGAUCAGCUUUCCUCAGCAGCAAGCCGUGGACAAUUGGCGAAGUCCACUUGAGGUCCUCAAUCAGUAGGAGAUGCCCAAAACAACUCUCUUCAAACCUUUGUAGCUGUUGUUCACUGAAUUUCUCCUUUAUCGUACUGAUUGCAGUCUUCGUAUGGGAUAGGGACAAUGCUUUUCCUUGGAACUUUUCUUCCUCUGCAAUCAUCAACUUAAUUUGAGCAACCAUAUUUCCCUGCAUGCCAAUAUUAUAAAAAAAAAAAUUUAGUCCGUUGCAAUCUAGACAAUAACAAGCAAUAAACAAUCAGCACUUAUCAACAACCUAUUAUAGGAUAUUAAGUGAAAAAUAAACAAAAAAUACAGAGCAUAAACAAAACCCCAGCUAUUUACAACUAACCUACUAAUUCAAUAGCUCAAAGCCACGUCUGAAGACACCCAGUACUCUACCACUCCUGCAUAAUAUAAUAUCUAAAGACACAUCUCAACACACCAGAUAAUCAUGAGACAGCUUCAGCUAGAAUGAGAAUGUGCGGUAGCACAAGCCUAAUUGAGAACAAUUCAAGACUAACGAUAGAAAUCUAUCUGACUAGAAAGAGUUUUAAAAAACAAGAAUACAUCGGGAAAGAAUUGAUUGACUUCAAGGUAUAGUGUAAUGGAACAUCCUAUGAAUUAGUGGCAACCACAAUAAUGACUCCACUAUGGCCCUCCUUUCAAAUGUAAGAAAAUGAAUGAAAUUGGCACCAUCCCUUCAGUUUUUUCUUAACAAAAUAAGAGGUCUGUAUGUAUUCUCUGCUUUAUCGAUAUCAAAGAUAAAUUAGUAAAUAAACCAUCAAAACUGUAUAAAAUGUUUGUAAGACAUGUACAAUUACAAAAUUAUAAGUUCUCCUCAGAAACAAAGUUCUCUAAGUAUCCAUACACAAACAAGAAAAGCAAAAGCUUAAAGAGUUAGCUUAUAGCAAAAUCAAUGUCCCCAUUUCUCUAAACCACACCUGCUGGUGGUAGGUUCCCAUCUUCCCUCAUUUCCCGCUUUCUUUUAAGCAAACAAUGAUCAAGCACAAAAGAACAAACUUUUAAAGAACUCAUAUUACACCACAUAUAGUUCUAAAGAAAACUUAUCCAUAUCCAAUAUGCAAGCCCUAAAGUUAGUAAACAGAGUUAUAAAAAAAUAUGUCAAAUUAACAAGCAUUAUUCUCAAACAAAAAGUAUGAUAUGGUUGGGAGUUUACAAGUUCAAAAUGAUAUACACAGGUUAAUUGUCUUAGACUUUAGAUAUCAUCUUCAACAAAGAAAAUACAUACCGAUUAGACUUGUAAGAAGGUUAAAUGCAAUGGUCAUAAAGACCCAUAGUAAGCCACCAAAUACCAAUCAAUAACUGCUACAAAAACCAUAAUAAAACCAUAAUAAACUAAAAAUACAACAGCACUAAAAUGCCAACACAACAUCACUACAUUAGCAAUACACUAGCAAAAAAACAACAAUACGACAUCAAUAGCAACAGCAAAACAACAGCAGUGCAAGCAUCAGUCCACAAAGAACAAACCCAUUCACUGUUUCAAACAAGGAAUCAUCAUACUAAGAUCAUUUCGGAGAAACCCCAAAACCAAUUUCAGUGAAACCCCUAAACCAAUUUCAGAGAAACCCCUAAACCUUCAACCAAUUUUGAACAAACCCCCGAACCAAUUUCAUAGAAAUGCAUAAACCCUAAACCAACUUCAGAGAAACCCUUAAACUGUAAGAAAAUGACGAUGAACCGUACCUGUUCAAGGUGAAUGAUGGAGUUGAGCUUCGAUGAACAGAUUUCGCUAGGAGAGGAAGAGAGAAGAGAGAGUCAGAGCUGAGCGACGAGAGAUUGAGAGCUGAGCAACGAGAGAGUGAGAGCUGAUCGACAAGAGAUGAGAGAGUGAGAGCAAAACGACGAAAGAGUGAAGAGAAACUGAGAGACGGAGCCAAGAGAGAGAGCUGAGAGAGAACUUCAGCAAAACUGAUAGAGAACUUCAGCAAAAGUGAUAUGUGUGCAAUAAGGGGACAAUAAAUAUAUAUUUAUAGGUUAUAGUUCUAAAUUUUUUUAAAAAGGGUGGUAUUUUCAGUUACAAUUAUAAAAAUAGUGGCAUUUAGAGCUAUUUCCCUAAAAAAUUUAAGAGGCUAAAUUUUAUGAAUAGUCCAUUUUGAGGGGCUAAAACAGCACCUAGCCCCUUGCCCUUCCAUUAGACGUGCUCUAAGAGUGUUCUAUUAUUGACUAGUAUAUGUCGAUGAUAUUUUUGUCAUUUCGUUCAAAUAUGACGUUUCCUAUAACAACAAAACACAAUCAACAUACAUCUGGAGCAUGUCUGCCUUUGCUAGCACAAGAUAUUAUAGUAACAUGGAAAAAUAUUUGAGUAUGACUGUCAUAUUGUUACAUAGUUACUAAUUCACGUGUUAUAAUAUGAGCAGACGACAAUUCAUAUUUGAAAGUAUAAAUUAAACACAUAAUAACAAGAGUUGUAACAUCACAUAGUGGUAUGACAGUUACAUAGAAUAAUUUAUUCAUAAUAUGAGGAUUAAUAAUAGUUUUUCUGUUACUUUACAUAAUGUCAACCACGGUUAUAUCCACCAAACCCUAGUUAAUUUCUAAUUAGUCAAGGAAAACAAAUGUUUCAAAAUCUUAGCCUUUUUUAUACAGAAAGUAAGUAGAAGAGCAAAAGUAAGACUAAAACAUAUGCAACAUACGUGUUAAUUGUUGUAAACAAUUGCAGCAGAAUCCUCAGUAAUGCUAUGGAUAUCUAUUAACGCAUGUAUGGAUACCCUGAUCGAAAAUCUCAUAGCUUGCUCAAGGGACCCAAAAGAAGAAAAAAACCUAAACAAAAACAGAAACAAAUCUGAUCCUAAGUCACGCUAGCACCUUAAAGAGACAAUUUGUCUUGUCAAUGACCCAAUCUUAAUUGAUUUCUUACGUGUGUUGUUAAUUAAGUUUUUUUAGUAUAAGUGAUUGGAAGAGGGGGGGUUUACACAAAUAUUCAAUGAGCAUUUGGGAGUUCAAACUUCUAUUCCAUUGACGGAUAUAAACGAACUCAAUCAAUUGAAUUAUACUCUAUUGCCGUCGUUAAUUAAAUUUAUUUGAAUUCAUGUAGGUAAUUAAGUUUAUUUGAAAUUAUGUAGUUGUGAUAUAUCAAAACGUGUUCAUACCCAAAAACAUUUAUACCAAAACCUGUGCAUUUGAAGUGGAACACAUACUAUUUGGUUUUUAUUUUACCAUGCAAUAAUGAUUUUGGGUACGGUUGCAGGUUAAGUGUGUGGCUCGUUUUUGUGGCGCUUAUUAAGUUUAGUGACAGUUAUCUAUUCAAUUAAUGACACUUAUGUUUGAAUUUUGGGACCGCUAUGGUUUUAGCUCUAGAAAAGGAUGAUUUUGAAGAAAUCCAUACAUGACACAUAGUAAUGAUAAUUUGAGCUAAGAUUGGUGUAACUUCAACUUUCUGUUUCUUUAAAGGCUUAGCGCCCUUUAACUAAUGGAUGGAAGAUGGCUAACCCGAAUGAAAUUUACACUUCGGCCAAAUCUACUUUGGAGAAUACAAAAAAGUCCUACGUCAAUUAAAAUUAUAAGUAAAAUCUUGUAAUAACAAUCUAUUAAAAUCAUAAAAAAAAAUCAUGUAAUUAAAAAUCAUGCUGAAAUCUAUUAUUUUAAAAUCAUGUAAUUACAAUCUAAUCAAGAUUUUUAAGUAAUAAAAAAAAAUCUAUUGGUAUUUAAUUAGAAUUUUUAAAUAAUCAAUCCCAGUCUAGUGGUAUUUAAUUAGGACUUUUAAAAGAUAAAAAAAAAUACGGUGGUAUUAAAAAACUUACCGAUUUUGAGGUAUUUCGUUAAAUGAUGUAUUGUGUGAGACUUUUAAGUGGGUGACAUAAAUACCAAAUCCCAUAAAAAGAUCCCACCCUUCUAUAAUUGGGACCCCAUCCAAGAUACUCAUGUCUUAUUACAACAACUUGGUUUAACCAGACUUGAUCCUUUUGUAUUUAAUGGAUAUACUCAAAUGGCUUACCUUGAGAUAUCUAAACAAUAAUUUUGGAGCUAUCUAGAUUCAGAUACGUUGCUUUCAAUAGUUGUUCAUAUUAUGCAAUAUGCAUGCAUUUUUCGCGAUAACUUUUGGGCUUGUUUAUUUCCUUUGAUUUAUUUGUCUUUCUUUAGUCAAUUUGUAGAAUCAAUGAGUGACAAGUGUUUUGUACCAUUUUGACUUGUUUUCAACUAUCCAGUUUCUUAUUUGAACUGAUUCAAUUAACUUGUCUGUUGUAAUUUUUAUAAAAUCAUUUAAUUCAAGAUUUUUCCUUGUAUCCUGUUUCUCUGUCAAUUUUCAAUUCCAGAUUAAGAUUAGGCCAGUGGCUCAUGAUCAGAUUUGUUUUUACUAUUGCCUCUUUUAGGAGACAAUCAUUGACAAGACAUAUUGCCCUUUUAAGGGGAUAACGGUACUCAUGAUUAGAUUUGUUUUUGUUUUUAUUUAGGUUUUUUUUUAACACCCCGACCCCAAAUUUUCCCAAAUUUAACCCUUAUUUAAUUCUUUAAUUAUUUAAGGGUAUUUUAGUUAUAUUUUUAACCGGAGAGAGUUUGGGGCCGUGACUUGUAUUUCUGGAUAGGUCGUACUGAGACGAGUUCAUAGACACGUAGUGGGCUCGAAUCGGAGUUGUAACGAGAGAGAUAUGGUCAAAAGAAGCCCAGUGGCACAAUCGUAAAUAUUUCGAAAUGAAAUUUUUAUAAAAACUCAGAUUUUUUUUUCUCUCUCUCUCCUCUCUCUCUCUCCCGUCGGCCUCUCCUCUCUCUCUCCUCGUAACUCCGGCCACCGGCCGCGGCUGCGGACGGGGCCGGUGCCAAAAGAACCGGCUCGACCUCGGCGUCACGACCCAGCCCAUCCCCGACAUCGGCCGCCGCUCCAGCCGCCGGAAAAUGGCGAUUUUCGCCCGAAUGUCGCCGGAUUUUCAAAGCCGUCGAUCUCCCUCCUCCGGCCACCAAAUCCGACGAGCAAGGUAUGGUUUCUCACCUAUUUUUCAUGCUCUAGCUGCCUGUUGGGUAGGAUUAGAUCGAUUCUUAGCGUAACUAACUCGAUUUUCAAAUUGAAAAUCGGCCGAACUUCAGCCGCCGUGAUCGGCCAUUUUCGGCCACCUUUUGGGGUAGGUCCAAGAACAAAAGUGGCUCCAAACAGGGUGUUAUACCUAGGGUAGGAGUUUGGAGCCGUGGUUUUGAGAUUUUCCGGCGAAGCGUUAUCGCUUUGGGCACCACGCGCUGCCGGCGCGUGCGGCGGCGCGUGGACACUGUAUAAAAAUUAGCACUGUGUUCCGUUGAGAUCCUUAGGUUGUCACGAGUGCGUAGGAUUUCACGGAUCUCAAUUCGGACUUCGUUUGACUAUCGAACGGAUAUUCGCAUAUUGUGCGUUAUCCGGGUUCGAUAGGUUGGGACCGUUGGAUGGUCCCAAAUUUAAUAUAUGUUAAUCUAGGUAAUUCUAGGAUCGUGUAGGAAUUCACGGAUCGUGAAUCGGAGCCCCGGAUGUUCCGAAUAAUAAUUUUAAGUUUAUAUUUUAUAUUAACCGUCGGAUCGUGCGAUCGUGAGAAAUUCGACCGUCCGAUCUGAACCAAAGUCGCAGGACAAGUGUCCUAUACCUGGUAGAACCCAUAGAGACUUUCGGAUCGGAAAUUGGAGGUCGUGGGUUCUGCAGGUCCGUUGGACCAGGGUUAGAGUAGUUUGACCCUUGGUUGACCGUGAGUCUCCCGGAGUAAUCUCACCUUUCUAGGGGGGAUUAUCGGGUACUAGAUGAUUGUGGAGGGUUACACAAUAUUAGAAUUAAUUUAUACAAUUAUAAUUAUAUAUGGUUGUACAAGGGUACAACAGAGUCUAGAAUGUCAGUUUGGAGUGCUAUACGCACUACCUUAGGUACCUCCUCGGACUUUGGAUUUACUACAAGCACCACCAAGUGAAAGUUAGGUCCCACGUGGCGUAGGUUAUCCGGCGUUGGGACAGACCCCAUACGUGGCGUUGGUUGUACCGGCGUAUGGGGAGAUUUGUAAUAUGAUGUUCAGGUCUCACGUGGCGUAGGUUCUCCGGCGUGUAGACAGGCCCCAUACGUGGCGUUGGUUGUACCGGCGUAUGGGGAGAUAUUGUGAUAUUGUGCUGAGGUCGCACGUGGCGUAGGUUAUCCGGCGUGUCGACAGACCCCAUACGUGGCGUUGGUUGUACCGGCGUAUGGGAAGAUUUGUGAUAUGAUGUUGAGGUCCCGCGUGGUGCACGUUAUCCGACGUUGGGACAAGCCCCAUACGUGGCGUUGGUUGUACCGGCGUAUGGGGAGUUAUGUGAUAUGAUGUGCAGGUCUCGCGUGGCGUAGGUUAUCC
This 44590-nucleotide long non-coding RNA is filed under the name Prunus persica (peach). RNAcentral describes it as "long non-coding RNA (PPER_LNC004207)". The record is from RNAcentral. Lineage: Eukaryota; Viridiplantae; Streptophyta; Magnoliopsida; Rosales; Rosaceae.